GCUUCAUUACACUUUCUUGCUUUUAAUUUUUCGUUUCGUGAGAAGCGUUAUCAUAUGAUUCUUCGUCCAAAACUAUCUUUUGAUGUGCAAAUGUGAUUCAAGAAAACACAAUAAUUAGUGCGAUUGAUAAAGUUUGUUCCUUCCGUCCAUUUCACGGAAGAUCUAUUGGUAAUUCUGCUUCACCUGGAAAAACAAAACUGUUCUUGAAUUAGACUUCGCUGCUGUAUAUUUGACUCGAGUCUCAUCUUCAAUUAUUGAUAUGGAACAUUGGAUUUGGGCCCAGAAAUGCCUGGUUACUCACUUACAGUCAUCUUAAAGUUCUAGCAUCUGUUUUUAUCUGUUACAGUGGCACAAAAUGGCUUAAUAUGAUAAAAUAAUGAUAUCGUGAAUAUAUAACUUUCAGCUAACAUUUAAAAUUACACCAACUGAAAAGUUUAAUGUAAGCUCGAUUUUUAAUUAUUAGAAAGGUGAUUAUGCCAAAUAAAUGCUACUGUGAUAACUAUACACAUUAUUUCAUUUGGUCGUAACACAACAAAAUUGGGCCGGGUAGGGUUGUAAUAUUAGAGAAGCUGCAGGCAAAAAUAUAAUGCAAAUCAGAGAGAUUUCCCCCUAGAGUCUAAUUAUUUAAAGAUUAAAAAAUCUCAGCUUAGUUAUGCUUUGAACUUUUUUGAAUUCAUCACUAUCAUGUUUUAGAACAUUUCGAGGCAAUAAAUUGAAUAGUCAAUUAUUCCCCCCCAUCUUCUUACACUUGAUAUUCAACUUCAUCUUUCAUUUUGUUCUUCUGUCUUGUACUAGACUGUCAUAGUAAAUGGAAAAUGUUGGAAGACUACCAUUUUUCUUCAAAGAUUCAACCCUUAAAUGCUCAAUGGUAUCCUAUGGAUCCCUAAAUGAACAGCUGGAAAAAUGUCGGGCUUUGAAAUGUUAUUGAUAAAAAAAUUGCAAUAAUAGGCACUCUUUCUAUACACUAAACUCCCGAUCCUAUGGUUCAAACUCCAAUACUUAACCUAGACAAAAUAUACAGCAAGACACUUCAUGAUCAACUUAAUACAUUAGCACAACUUGGACAACUUAUGGAUGCUCCCAUAUUGGAAGAAAAGUCCCAUUUAGCUAAAAUAGUUAUAAAAUAUAAACUUAUCAAGAAUAACUACUUCUUUAGAUCUUAGUUUAACAAUUGACUGCUAAAUGCCCUCCCUUUUUUCUUCUUAAUUUCCUUGAAACAAGUGCCAUCGAUAUUUCAAAUAUUGCAGAGAUCAUUGAGGCCUCACUAAUGAUAUGCAAUACUAGCUUUCCUCACUUAAUCCUUGGGAAGUUAUGGUCAUCAAAAGUUACACUCGGAAUACGCAAGCAUGCCUGCUUGCACUACAUGGGGCUUGUAUUGGUUAAUGUGUGAUGAGAGGUGUCUCUCCACCAUCGAGCCAAUCAGCCACCGAUAUGAAUAGAAGAGCAGAGGCUAGCUAUAAAUCCUCUUCAAGUACUACUAAUUUAAAGAUAAUAUAAAUUCUUUAUAGAAUGGUAUGAGAAAGUCCAAGGGUUACAAUUAAUAUUUCAUAUACUUGUGGAGUUCAAAUUCUUACUUUCUGAACUUUGAUUAUCUUGGAUUCAUUUUGCAGAACUUAUGGUUGUUGAUUAGGAUAAAAUAUAGCUAUUCAGCUGAUGUCUGUGCAUGUCGUGAUACUAUAGAAACUACACAUCACUGAAAAAAGUGUCCUACAACACAUGGAUGAUAUCAGUAGAACCAUAUGAAGGAUUGUCUUGAGUGGAUAUUUCUUGGAGAUUGCCAAAAGUAGGAAAUAUGAGAAUGGUCUAUUAAAGGUCCCAUGGGUCAGUUUUUACACAAUUUAUUAAAAUUUUAGCAGUAUUAUCUUUGAAUUUUAACGUAAUGCCAUCUUAUUAAUGAUGGGCAUACUUUUGAAAGUUCUCCAUACCCUGGCCUGUUUACGCGGACAUAUAUAUUAUUUAAAAUGCUUUUCUGAGCCAUUUGUUUCUUGUUUUGGUAUUCUGACCACAUCUGAUGCUAUCAUGCAAGCUAAUAUAGUAGCAUGUGAGAGCUCAGCUGGUGAAUAAUGCCUAGUGGUUUGAUUAGUUGUGUCUGAUGCUUCCAUUGUUCAUUGAAUUUAUUUGUCUCUUAUGAUUAAGUUUUUUAUUUAAAAAAAAAACAGGUUGCUUAGGAACAGGGUUUCUGCUCAGCAAGCUAGAGAAAGAAAGAAGGUUUAUGUGAAUGACCUAGAAUCCAGAGCCAAAGAGUUGCACGACAAAAAUUUGAAGUUAGAAGAAAAAAUUUCAACUUUGAUCAACGAGAACACUAUGCUUAGGAAGGUAUAUCCAAGAUAUUAUUUUCCCCUGAUCAAUAAGUUUCUAUAAAAUGGGUCACCUGUAGCUUCAGUUUUAAUCUUUGUCUAUUUUUAUUCUUUUCUGCAGGUUCUUAUGAACACCAGGCCUAAAGUUGAUGAAGGUAUUGAGCCACAAAAUGAUGUGCCAGGCAACAGUUAGCAAUUAGGAUAUCCAAGUUACUGUUUCACGAAUUAUUGUAAGAGAAGAAGUGAAUAUAUCAAAACUAUACAUUUGGAGUUUGUCAUAUCUUGAUGUGGAACUAGACUUGUUUGCUAUGUUUAUGAUUACUUAACCAUGUCUUCCUUGACAUUGUUCUGCUUUUUCCAAUUUGUCAGAGUUCUUUGUAAACUCUGUUUGCUUACCAUGGUUUUAAUUCUUUUGGAGCCACCCAAUCUUUCAGCCUUAAUAAACUUGCAUAUAUCACUUCUUUUGCAUAAUUUGGUGCCAAUCCAUCAUAUUACCUUUUCAUUAAAAAGCUGAAUCUUGCAGCAGCAAUAUGGACAUAUCUAAGUUUUUUUAUUGCUAGAAUCAUCACCAUAUUUCCUUUUUAUCUGUUGAACUCUUUCGGACUCUGUGUAAUAAGAUAACUGAAAAAUUACAUUUGGUACUUUUCAAUUCUGAUGCAAGUUCUACAUCAUUAACGAGGGCCUGCUUGGAGUUGCUCUUGAAAGCAACUUCAAAGAUACGAGAUGGCUCAUUAUUAAUUGCUAUACGUAUAUUGCUAUGUACGUGGAUGUAAGUUGAUGUAUUAUAAAUACUAGGUUUAUGCAUACUAUAUGCAGUUAUAUGUGAGGCAUUGCAGCCUAUCUUAACCAUGUUCGAUGUAUAUGUGCACUUGGUAGUGGUCCCGUUUCAACAUCAUCAGGCUCUUUAUCACUUCCUGAAAAUACAAAGUAUCAAAGCAAGCAUUGAUCAUCAUGGGCAAGAUACCAUAUCUUAGUUGCCGUCUUAUGAAAAUUGGAUUUAUCUGACACCGAUCACCAUUAUUGGAUGUGACUCUUGUCACAUGCUCUUCUUGAUGACAGUUUACCUGCUUUUCUCGAAUGCCCAUCUCCAUAGUCUGACAGUUAUUUGACAUGUGGUGACAAGGUCUUACCAGGUCUAGUUGAAACUCAGAACUGGAGGGAUUUUUCUCAUUCUCUUUUGUGAGGUCUUGGCUUUAUUAUCAAAUUGUAGAAGUGGAGUCAUCCCCUGUUAUCCUUUAUGCAUACUUUCACCUCAAAUUACAGUGAGGUGGACUCUUCGAGGCCAGUUGAUCCUUCCCAAAAGGUUGUCGAGGUUUUCGUUGCUCCCUUCGCACAAACCAAGGAUUUUGCUCUCCAGUUACUAAUUAAAUCCUUUGUUUUGAGUUCUCUUCAUUACCUACUGUUCCCUAGUUGCUUGUUAUAUAUCUGGUUUUGAUCCAGCAUGCAUCUUUCUGUUUGAUUGGUUGUGCCUCAUUCCUUGCAUUUGGCUGGUUUGGGUUUUGGCCCCCUAUACUAUCUUUUCUUAGGUUUUUAGUCAAUUUGUGUCAUUUCAUCAUACAUCUUCCUCCACUUGGUUACCUUGAUAUCUUUUGUUAAUUACUUAGAUUUCUCUCAUCUCUGAGCUGGUGUUAUUUCUAGUUUACUCUUGUACCUGAACUUCAGGGCAUUUCAGGUAUUGGGUUCCCUUUGUUAUAAGCUUUGAAAAUCCCUUUCGUGUAUUAGAAGCCUUCUGCUCUCUUGCAUCUUGCCUUGAUUACUAUUGAUAACCUUUUAUGACACCUAUGGAAUUUUGUGAAAGAGCUCCAAAAAGCUUGUAAGUUAACUGGAACAAAAAUGAUAAAAAAAUAUGGAAGUUGGUAUUAUUCUAUUGAAUGGAUUGAUCAUCUCUUCCCGGAUAAUCAACAAAAAAUAUUUUCAUGAAAAAAUAUAGAGUAAAAUCAGAUAUUUAAGAAUUUGUGAUCAUACAUAUCAUGGCUUGCUGGUGAUUCUGGAGAUGAGCUGUCAUAUCUCCAUGAAAAUUUGGUGAAGAAUAUGUAGAACAAUUAAAUGUCACACAAGGAGGAUGCUGGAAUGUGGAAGGAAGCUUUUAGUCAGAUGCUUUGUUUCUUCAUAAACAUUUAGUGGAAAGUAUGAAACUGAUUAAUAAAAUGAUUAAGAUAUGUAGAUUGAGCAUUUGAGAGAAGUAAUGUGGAAAUAUAGGGUGUACAUUCAUGAGGUGGGUAUGCCUUCGGUUUCAAUGUUUAAAUCAGAAUACCCAUGGGUCAUUCUCUAUUGGUGCAUAACAUGCUAAAUGUAAAAUGUGUGACCAAAGGCCUUAUAGAAGUUCGUAAGUGGGGAGGUCAUACUUAUUAUAUUUGUCUUUCACGGUGUGUUGUAUGUAUCAGCUGAUAAUUUUUUUUUUGUCCUGAAUGGACAUUGUAACAUAUAUUUCUACUUUUUUCCAUCUGCUUUUUGUGAGCUCUUACACAUUAAAGCAUCUGGCUUCUAGUUUCAUGAUGCAUUUAUAGAAUUUGUUAAUUUCGCAUCCUCACUCUAUGGAGCAUGCGAGUGGUUUGAACUCAUGUAACAUCUUGAUUUUUUGAAAUGAAAACUAAUCUGCUUUUUAUAAGAUUAGCUGUAUAACAAAUAAAGCAUGAGUUAGAUGCAUUUAUCUAGUAACUUAUUGUGCUGUAUAAAAACUAAUAGCUCUUUGAAAGAUAAUUUGGCAGAUUUCUGUCCUUCAGAGUCAUAUUACUGAAACAUCUAUGUUAAUUUCAGCUUUUAAUAGGAGGCUUUGUACGGAUGAUCUGUUGUUUUAUCUACUUCAAAAGAAUCGUUCUCUAACCACUCACGAGUAUCCUGGAUAAUUGAUGCCUCAUCACUAAAUUCUCUUGUUUCUUUGUUUCUCUCUGGAGAUAGCUAUGGUAUUUAGGUUGGUACAUUCUUGAUACAUGUUGUAUUUCAGUUCAAUUUCUUUCAAUAAUUUAAUAUUACCUAUAAAAUUUCAAAACAUUAUGGAUUUUCAAAUCCCAAUCUACAUCUCUCUCUAUUUAAGAAGUUCAUAAAAUAGUUGGAAGGCCAAAAAGAGGUUGCUUGAUAGCUUAAUAAUUAAUAAAUUAUCUAGACAUGUCUAUGCAUGGAUUUCUUUUUAAGACCGGAAAAUCUACCCCAACAAUCUCCUCAUUUCUGUCCUCUCAUAAUAUGCACAAUUGAAUUAAGUCAACUCUUGCCAUGAUUCCUCAAUUUAUCAGGUCUGGGACAGUUACCAUAAUUUGUAAGAUACUUGCUCUUGGGUUUCAUCAUCACUCUUUGCUAGAUUCAUGCAAAUUCUAGUCAUCCAGGGUAGAUCAAUUGGUUUAGUUUUUGCUUUUCUGCAUGUUAGUAGUCUGUGGCAUCGUUGUUGUUAUUAUUGUUGUCAUUGUCACUGUCCUGUACUACAUGAUGUAUGUUUUUCAUGCUUGUACAUCUCUAUGGAUUGGAUGUUGAUGUAUGCGUAGAGUUUAACUAGGCAACGUGAUUUAUAUUAAGAUUGGUUGGAUACAACCUCUGUGUAGAACAUAGCUCAUUCCUCUUUCAUGACUUCAUUCUUUACACUAGUUCUCCAAUAAAUUAAGAUGCAUAUGCCAUGACAGGCUGAGUUCGCUUGUUUUAUCCAUGUCUUCCCAUGAUGGUUGUACUUGCUGUUGCUACCUGGUAAAAUAUAUUUAUAAUUCAGAGCAAAAUUAUACUGCAACGGGCAAAGAUUCUCGUAGCUACAUCAACUUUUCCAGUGUUUUGUGGGUGUGCAUGAUGUGAGUGGCAAAAACUGGCCUAUUGCACGGUGAUCAUCAAAAUCUAGCAAGAGUUACGGUUGCUAUAUUAGAAGAACAAGGAUUGCGAUAAGGCUGCUUUCCUUUUCAUUUUGUUGGCUUUUUAUAUUUUGGAAAACAUUGAUAAAUUCCAUAUUGUUCGGAUACUUUAACUGAGAGUAGGAAGCCUCAUCACAACCAUUUCAGAUCGGCUUUUUGAAAUGCCAUAUAUUUGUUCCUUCAUUAUUACAGCUGUCAGCAAACUUGGCAUUCUUAAACACCUUUAUUACCUGGUCUUGGGACCAACUUCCAUGGUUUUAGAUCUCAUUUUCUUUUGUUACUGGACUUAAAACAAAUCUUGAUUGUUUGCAGAGAAUUACUAGGCAGUUGGCUGAUCUUCAAGCUCCCUCUGUUUUUCUAGGUAAAUAUAUCUUUGUAGGAACAGUUCAUUUUCUAGGUGCCUUUCUUGUAGAAUUUUAUGAAUGAAUUUUUAUAUCCUCAUCCCAAAUGACUGUGUUUGAUGUUAUGUUCAGUAUGAUAUCUUCAAGAUUAGAAACCAACACAUCAUAUGAUAUCUUCACAUCCUGGACAAUUUGCUUCGUAGUUCAUCUUUCUUCUUAGUUGCUAAAUGAACCCAUAAGCUCGGGGCACUGUUGUCGGAACACCUUAUUUGACCAGCAAUCAGUCAUAUGCUUUCGUUUCAAUCUUCAAGACACAUACCUAGUUUUCAUUGAGGCUGCUUAUUGAUUGCAUCUGUUUUUCAUUGAUUUGCUGAUGUUAGAUUCCUUAUCAAGUUCCUGGACAUCCAUUGUUUGAGCGUGUUGUUGGUGGUGAACUGUAAAGCUUGUCUUGGCAUUGACAGAUGUAAGUUAUGGAAUGCCAAAGGGAUACCCACCUGAUAGUGCUAGGAAGAUUCAACUAGUAAUUUUGAUGUUUAGGGCCUCUAGACUUUUCAAUAAUGAUGCAACGGCGCCACUUAUGGAUUGAUUUGAUUCUUCGCUAUGGCAGGUCAUAAUUUAGUGCUUUUGUAUGGAACUCCUCAAUACAAUUUUACCUGACGUUAUAUCUUACAUGUGUUUGCAAGAUUCGCUUGACUCCUCUCUCUUUAUGUUUUUUUUUUUAAUGAUCCUGUGACCAGUUAUCGACCUACUCAUAUCCUGAUGUGUUUCGUAAGCCAAUAAUUUUAUCUCCUCAUUCUUCCUAGAGGGCUUCAUAUCUCAAUUGCAAGGGUAUCUCUUUUGUUGCCUCAUUUGUAUGAAGGCUUUUCGACUGUAUACUGAAGAACUUUAGCUAGAAUUUUGUCUAGGUGCCUUUUGAUUCGAUCAGACACCCUUCUUUGUCAUAACCUGUUGGCGUGAUAUGGCUGGUUUGUUGACAUGACAUUUCUAGGAAGUCUUUUGGACAAUAAGAAUGUAACAGAAAUUAUGAAAUCAUUGAGCUUUAUAUUUAUCACUGAACCAGGGAUCCAAGCUUAGUCAAUGACGCAAGGUGUGAGGAAAGCUACCACUUUCCAAUAAACAAAAGGAGAAAUCUAAUUACUUGAAGAUGGAGUAGGUAAAGAUGGAAUAGGGGAGUGGGGGGACAAAGCAGCACUUUAACAAGUUUUAGAUAAUUGGUGAUUAGUUCCUUCUUGUUAAGGUCAAUUGUCAUUAUUACUUGGCCCUCCACCAACAUCCUUUUCCUGAAUGAAAAGUUAAACCACUUUAUCUUUUUCUCUCUUAUUGCAUGUGACCGACCAAGUUGGACUAGCUUUAGUCUGGUAGUCAAUUGUCUUUAGGAGACUGCAGUUGUUUUUAUGCAGUUAUAAUCAUCAUGAAGUUCUGGAAAAGUAUUAUUACACACUUACAAUUCAUAUAUUCAUUCAAAUUUUGCGGAUGCUGUUAGAAAGGCUGCGCUGGAUGAACUUCUGUGCAGAUGACAAAUACUUCCAGCUGAAAAUGUUGAAUCAGCAUAGUGGAAGGGGAUUCAAAGUGCACAUCAUAUUAGUUAUCAAGAAAAUAUUUGAUCAUAAUUUCUUGAUCAGCCAAUUCACUCGGUAAAUAGUUUCUGAAUGAUCGAACUGAGUGUAUUCUUAUACAAUAGCUAAUAAGUUUUAUUUCUGUUUCAAAUUAUUGUAACCGGUAACCGAUACCAUUUUGAUGGGACAAACAUUGCUUGAUUUUGCAUGCUAUUUGCUGUUAAGUUAUUUUGCAGUUCUUCUUUCAGAUAUAAAUUUCAUGCACCUACUUUCUUGGCUCUUCUUCCCACCCAAAUUGGUCUUAAAUUCUCAAUAUCAUCUUAAAAUCUUGGAAUUCAUUGCUUUAGAGCUUUAGGCUACAACCAUGAAUAGUUGGUGAAUAUGGGGCUGCUGCCACCAUGUGAUUGGAAGCUUCUGCCUUCCCCAAGCAAGGACAUUACAGCUCUGAUUCAGUCAUUUAGACCAAUGAAAUGAUCGUUAUCAAGUGACCGUUGCUUGUUCUUGUCAAUAGCUGUCUUCUUAAAGAGUGGGUCCUUAUUCUUGUGCUUAGGGGAACGAUGAUUAGAUUAAUGACAUGAACACCCGCCUUCCAAUAUUCUCACAUCCAUCUUAUCGUCUUACACUUUUUUUUUGCGUUCAUGAAUUCGAACGAUAGGAACUGAGCACAGCAUCCUAUAGAUGUCUCUUGGUUUCUUAGUUUUCUAUUCAUUUAACUAUGAUAACAUUUGAUGAAGAUAUCUUCUUAGCCCGGAAGAGUUAAGCAGUCAUCGAUGCUCUCACUACUGUCUUGCAGCCCUCUCUUACAAUUUCACCACAACUUCUUCUAAGUAGAUUCGAUCAAUAUUCUUUACUUUUCUUCUGAGUCGUACUUAUUAGUUUCAUAAUAUGGAAACAUGCGUUUGAUUCCCAGGUCUUUUAUUAUAUCAGUAAAUUGGUUUGGUGCUUGCAUGCCGGAAGAUACCAUUCCCAUGACAAAUGGGCCACCAUCGACAAUUUCUUCAUCAUUUGAUGGUUCCAUCCGGAUUAAAGUGACCACUUGUUGUUUCUUAAUCACAAAGGUCCCAUCACUCCUUCAUGUGGGAGACCAGAUUAAUCCAUCUUUUAUUACUAUACUAACGUUAACAAUUUCAAAUGUACAUCCAAAGUCUUCCUUCCAGUUUCUAUUGCCUUGCAAGCAAUUAACAAAUGGUGUGGUCAUCUUCUCCCCACCGACAUCCGCUGAAGUAGACAUCGAUGGCUAACAUACUUACAAGGAGCGUUGUACAAGUUCCAGAGUUAUUCCUACCUCCAUGUUUGGUCUACAUCCUUAAUGAGCUAGAAUUUCUCUUCUUUUUCUGUGUCUCAGGGGCGAGCAUUGAAUAUUUAACUAACUAGUACUGCAGAGAACAAACUAUGGUGCUGCAUAUAGUGACCAAGAUAUUAAUGGGGCUAUUGCAAGGGAAAUCCUUGGGACGGUCUUCUUUGUAUGUGAAAAAAAAAAAAACUUAGGCACCAUUUGGAUCGAGUAUAUGUUUCUGGGAUAAGAAAAAGUUCUACCGAAAGUAUUAAUUUACUCCAAUAUAAACAGGUAUGAAAUUUGGCUACGAUGAUUAGCUAGGUCUAGAGAGACAUCGGCGGCAUAGAUGGUAUCACCUCUUGCUUCGAGACAUUCGAACCAUAGUUAGUGGCAGGCCAAGCUUGUUUACGGAGAGGCUAACCAUGCUGCGAACUACAAGGCCUCCUAUGUGUAACCAAUCACUUCGAAGGUGCCAUAUGCAUUGAAAAGAGGGAGCUGCCUAUUUUAUGUUCGGGUGAAAAUGGUGUUAUACUGGGCAGUGGUUGCUUGCUCAUUGUAUGUCUACUGAAUAUGAAUGUUAUUUGGGGAUAAACGUGCCCCAAGGAUUUUUUUAUGAGACCGGACAAAUAUACCCUUCAAAUCCUAUUAUACUAUGAUAUUACAUUAUAGAUUAUAGUAUAAUAUCUAAUAUAAUAUUAUGAUAUCAUAUAGUAUUAUAUUGUACGUGGAUGCAGGCACUCCGUGAUUCCAAGAAAGGAAGGAAGCGUUCCCCAUCUCCUAGACCGGAAAAGAUGCGGCUACUUUCCGCCACCUCCUCUUGCCCUUGUUACGCAGGGCACUCAACCAUAUGUUUAAUAAGUAGCCAUUCCUACGGUUAAGGUGGGUGAACCAUAAAGUGCCUGUUACUUGUUCAUUAGCUUUUUGCCAAACUAAAGAAAUAUAAAUUAUGGCUGGACAGAUUGAAAGCAUGUAACGUCUAAAGAUGGAAUCUUAGGGGAUCCAAAGAAAGUAGAGAUUGUAAUGGAGUGGAGCAAUCAAAAUAAUAUUUUUGAUAUUGCCGCAAAUUUUUGAAAUUGGUAGGUUAUUAUAGAAGAUUUGUUGAUGGAUUCUCAAAUAUAGCGAUGCCCUUAGCCCAUUUAGCUCAGAAGACAGUCAAUUUUGAAUGGUCUGCAAACAUGCGAGCAAAGUUUUCAAGAACUAAAGAAAUGGUUAACAUACUUUCUGGUGGUGGUGGUGGUGUUUCACUACUUACGUUAAUGGCGAUUCUAAGAAAUAUCUAGUUAUAUUUUGAUGCAUCAUGGCAAACCCGUAAUUUAUGCUUCCAUGCAAUUAAAAUUUUAUGGCCAAAAAUUGAUUUCUUUUAAAUUUCCUUCUUGAAGUACUGCAUUGUAAGAUAAGAUUAUAAUAUUUAAUUUUAUAUGAUAUUAUAUAAUAAUAAUAAUAAUACUAUUCACUAUCUUAUAUUAAUAUAAUACAAUAUGAUUAAUAUAAUAAAAUAUUACAAUAUAGAUUAUUGUAACCAUAGAGGCAGUAUGUGUCACCUCCUAUUUAAUACAAGGAUAAGAGGAAGGCACAAAACUAGGUUGUACCUAGGUUUAAAGUUAGGCCAGUGUUACUUAAAUACAACUUAAGCUUAGUUUAAUAGACCAAAUAAUCAUGAUAACCUAUCCCAUCCGACAGCUAAAGGUGUCUGGGAGUUAACCCUACAUAAACCACAUUUAUCCCCCCUUUCAAAUGGUGUACUAAUGAACUGGGUUGGAUUUCUCUCUGUUAAAUAUAGGAAAAAGAAAAUGGGGGAUUCUCUUCACACGUGGCAUAUCGGCCAGGAAUCAAAUUAAGACCUAAUCACGGAGGUAGGAGCUCUAACCUCAUGAUUGAUAUUUUUAUUUUUUUUAAAUUUAUUCACUUUUUGGUAAAUAAAAAUGCUUCAGGCCUAUUUGGAUAAUCCCAUGCAAUCCAACUUCAUGACAAGAUGGACAGGCAAGGCCCAUCUUAAGUUAUUCAUAAAAAAAAUUUCAGAGCAGGCCGGCCCAAAUCCUGUAAAGAAAAAAUAAUCUCAAUAAGUUUUUUUUCCACCCUACACAAAUGGACCGAAAGAGAUCCAAUUGAUAAUAUUAGACAUAAUCGGCGCACAUUAUAUAGUAAAUAUAUGUUGAUAUCUACAAGAUUUUUAACUCAAUUCUAUAGAAAUAUCCAAAUAGACUUUUCUCCGAUCUUCCAUCCUCGUUUUCCCUCCUGGCCAAAGCUAGGUUAGCAGUCCAUAUAACCCAACCUUAUCUCAUUAAGACGGUAGUGGAUUUUUUUUCUUUUUGCUGAUAGGAAUGGCGGAUCUUUUUCACGGGCAGCCGAUUUCGAUCUGUUCGUGAGCAUUGAGAUUCGCGCAUUUGGCCGCUGGAUAUGGCUUGAGAUGCUGGAACAGGAUACAAGCGGUGCUGGUCGAGGUCGUCCGCACCGCCUCCGUCCGACAAGCCGCCGCCUCGAGGCCCGCUGUCGGUCCGUUGACCUCGUGUCCCUGGCAUUCGUACGAUGCCCCGUCAGCAUCAUCAUCACGAGAAGAUUCCCGGCGGGCGUCCCUUCGGACCACGCGUCGAAAGGUCAGAGCAAUAGAGCGAAACGCACGCCAUCUCUUUGGGACCACGCACCCGGGGGACUGUGAACAGGGGAUGCGCAGGACAGCUGUCGGGAAGCAAAACCGACACGGAUGGCAUCCGUAUCUCACGUGCGGACGUGUAAGCCUGAGACGUACGCUUACCGUGGGACGUCGUAAGUGUGACCUGGCGAGUUUGCAGCUUGACAAAUCCUGCAUAGAUUGUGUAAAACUCUGCAUCGAGAGACGCCCUGUUUUGCCUUGAAGAAAAAGUUGGUGGCCUUCAGCCGCCUCCUCAUCCAUUGCAAAUUAUUGGAGGCCUUGUAGUUGUAGGUCUCUGUGUGCGUGUAAGCAUCUCUUAUUGACUUACUUUCUCCUUUUUCAAUCGAAACAACUUAAAAUUUUAAAAAAAAGAGUAAGAAAGAAAGAUUUCAGGGGUAGAUUCAUGAAGAAUCUUUAAAGGUUGAUCUAGAUCGAUGUAGUCACCUUUUGGCUUUUACAAAAGUGGCUUAGCUUCCCCGCCAUUCACUGUGUCGAGAAAAAGUUGGCGGGGGGAAAAGGAUAUCGGUUUGAUCUGCCAUCCACCGUCCAUAUCCGUGUGGUACAGGUAACAUGCAUGUGACUACUAUACCUUUGAGAAUGCUAUGCAUGAUUGGAAGAGAAGGGCAGGCGAACAAUCCAGCACAUGCGUAGAAAGUUGUGCAUACGGCCUUGGAACUAAGCCUUCGCCUAUCACAUUAUGCAUGGCGUCACGCUUUCGUGUCGUUAUGGAUGCGGUUCAUGUCCAAACAAGCAGGAUUUCUUUACAUAGGCAAGGUGGGACCAUGUAUCUGUGCUCCACCCUCUCAUUUUUGCUGUGGGGGAUAAAAUGGCUUGCCAUAUGUUUCUAUCAUUUCUAGGGCACUGUCGGUUAGGGUUUGGGUUGUAUCUUUUGUGCGAAAAAAUGAUUGAUCCUUUUUGCAACACCGACCAUAGGACCGCACCCCGCACAAAUCUCAAACCACUGUGAAGUGAUCGUUGCAUGAUCUAAUGGUGGAUUUGCGUGAAGAAAUGCGAAUCUUUAAUUUCUUUGUGUAUAAGAUACAACCCUUGCCCGAAAGUGAAUCUAAGUAAAAUCAAAAGGCUAGAAAUAUCGCCUUUUUCUUAGUUAGGAACAAUUAAUGCCCUGUAGCAUACAACCUGUGAAAUUAAUCCAUAUUACCAGUCCUAGAGCCACCAUUAGAAACUCUACUUUUAGGGGCCGCUUUAGAAAAUUUCAUAUGGUGGGACCAUAUUACAUUUUGUGUUAAAAAAGAAAUAAAAUCAUUGAAGAUGUCUAAUUAUAGUUGCCGUACAUGGGUGCUUAGACAUUUUAUAAGGAGAAAGAUGGACCGUACUUUUAGUUUUCUUCUAGUAGAAUGCAUGUUAUUUUUCUGAAAAGCAUUAAUGCACAUUUUCUCCGCAUCCUAAGCAAAAUGCUCUUAAAGAUAAUUUAUUUUGAAAUUACUAAUAUUUUUAUGUACUGUCAAAUCCAGCAUCUCAUUCAAAAAGAAUAGUCAAAAGAUAUUAUUUGGAUCCUUGGCUCUAUAUAAAUAUCCAAGGUCUACCCAAUGUAUAGUCAAUAUAGGACUAGAUAUAUAUCUGCACGGAUCUUAACAUACUCCUUCCAUCGAAGCCUUAGCGUGCACCAUUGUGCUAAGAGUCCAAACCCAUUCAACUCUAAUCAUAAAUACCAUAAUCAGUUUGUGGUCUGUCCAAAUGGAUCCAUGCUAUAGGAUUCUCUAGUCCACAUAAGUCAUGGAUCAAAUUCACUCCGAUACCAUUUGUCAUAGACCAGGACCAUAUCCCAAAAGUCUAGAUGGAUGGUAUAAUUUGGGUUUCUUAGCUUUGUAUAAGUAUUCAAGAUCUAUCAUGUGUAUAACCAAUGCGAGAUUAAACAUGUACCUCCACUCGCAUGUACAUGCAAGUUACAAUAGCUUGUCAAUUACCUUGUUCUGAAUUUGAAAAAGGCUAUGAGAAACUGAUAUAUCAGUUCCAUGACAUCCAAUUGCUAUUGUGAACAAGAUUGUGACAGGUGUAGCAAGAUGUCACUUCAUAGCACCAACCAUUUGCGGCUCAUGAAGAAAGAAGAAUGUCUGAGGUUUUCUGUCGACGGGAGGAGAUGAGGGGAUUAUUUAACAACCACAUAUCGUAAACGGAGGUGGCCAAACGUAUGACCCCUUCCAUGGCUUUUAAAGCCUUCAUUAUUGGUAGGGCACCUUAUCCCUAAGGGUCCAUCCCUGACCACAAUCCAUGUCAAGGCCUAUUAGUAGAUGAAACUUGUAAUGGCUUACCAAAUCUUUUGAUCUAUUAUUGUGUUCAAAUGGCAUGCAUUAGGUUAAUUAAUCUCUUAACAUAUACUAAAAAGGAGCAAUCAUUUGGGUUCAUAACAUGUGGUUAACAAAUGCAUGUUCUAUAUUUGACUUGAUUGCGAGAUCAUGUGCUUUCAUAUGGAGAAUAUUGCAGGCGGAAAUUUUAUGAAUUGAAAGGUUUGUUAUGCUCUUGAUUUAUGAGACUUUAUACUUAAUAUAUACUCAUACCUAGGCAUAUUGUUGAAGUCAAGGGAUGCCUCAUGAUACUUGAAUAAGGAGAUACUUGUUUAGAGGUUUUCAAUGUUGUGGAUAUUGGGAAGAAGCAUGGAAAUGAGAUGUCCAGUUCAUGCUUGGUUGUCCUGAUUCCAAGCACAUCCUGGAUGGAAUAUUUGCGCUUGUAAGCCUUCACAAGCAAGAGGAAUUAUAUCUUUAGAAGGCUUCCUCUUCUUCCCCUUCAAAGUUCAUUAUAGCUUUACCAAGUACACCUUGAGAAGUCAUCUCUGGAAAUAACAAUUAGAGCAAAAUAAUGUAGGCAAUUGCACAUGACAUCUACCAAGAAAUUAAAAAGACGAAAACGAUAGAUUAUUAAAAAAAGGGGGUUAUUGUUCCGGUUCUGCCAUCGAAGGAGUUGAUUGGCAAGUUUCCACUGCAUCCGCAGCCUACUGCACUCCGUUAUGUAUACAUCGUCCUACAGAGGUCGAUGAUGUUGCCACUCUUUGCACGAACACUGGCAACAACUUCAAAGAUCUUUUUCAACUUUUAUCAUCUGAGGAAAAUUAUUAGGUGGAUCCGAUUCAUUGUAGAUCUAAAAUGAAAUUAUUUUAUUUUCUUUUUUUUUUGUGUGUGUGUAAUUUAGGCUCACGGUGGACCUGAUCUACCUAAUUAUUUCUCGUCAUCUGGGGCCGUGCAUUUAAGGUCGUGCAGCUUCCACGUUCUCGGUGUACGUUACUAAUGCAAUAAUUAUGCUUAAACAAUGAUAUCAGUAGAUUUAACUCCACUAACUAACUUUCUCAGAAUAUUAUGCUAAAAGUUUUGGGCCCAACUGUGGUAAAACGUCCCUUUCAGUCAGAGGUAAAGAGCUUGCUCUUAAAAAAAUAUCUCUCGAAAAGAUGAAGCACUAUUGCUUACAAGUUUCAAAAGACCGUUCAGUUUGUGGGCCAAUCUCACCAUACAAUUGGCAAAUUCCGAUUUGACCAAUGUGUGUUUCCACGAGCCAAUAAUGAAGAAACCAACGAAACAGGACAGUGAUUUGAAAACCUUUUUUCCUUUUUUAUCGUUCUCUGUCGGUGGCAGUAUCCAAGGUAAAUUUAAAUUCCAGUAAGUUGCCAAGGGUCCUGUCCCUGUAUGGCUUGAAAUACCUGAAAUCUACUAAGAGAGGUCCGUCAAAUAUGUGCACCAUAAUCCUCAUGUAACCAUGAUUUCAUUAUUUUCUAAUCACAAUUUAAGUAGACUAAAAGUUUCAUGAUGUUAAGAACAGGCUUCGGUUCUAAAAAAUGACUGUAGGAUUCUUUAGAAAAACUUCAUUUGGUUCUUUCUUUUAAUUUUUGAUGAAGAGAGAGGUUUUUUUUUUGAUGAAGAGAGAGGCAAAGCUAUCUGGUCUUUAUUAGGAAAAAAAACAAAAAUUAAUUAUAAAAAAUUUGCAUAAAUAAUAAUAAAAAAUUUAUAAAAGAUAGUGGUUUGUAAGUAGACCGAUUAAAUUAUUCAACAAGAUGAACAAUCUUAUAAGUAAUUUGUGAUCUGAAGAAUCUCUAGAUCUUCAAUGUGCAAGUUUGUAAGCUCUGUACCCCGGUCACUCCUCCUCCACACUAUUAACACUAUUAUGUGAAAAAAUCAUUAUUAAAGGGAUAAAAUUGAUUUAUAUGUAUAUGACUGCUAAAAAUCCAUCAGAGCUAUCUCUAGGCCUGCUGCAACUGUGUGUCAUGAGAUUUCACAACAAAGGGGAAGAUGACAUGCAGAAGCAAGGAAAGACUAAUGCUACUUAUACAAUCAUAACCUUAAUAAUAACCAUCUAAAUAAUGCUCAAGUAAGUCAGGAGACGUUCAAAAUUGAGUCAUCAUCAUAUUGAUGCAAAAAUCGUCCAGUCAGCAAGUUGGCUUUGCUAGAUAUGAUCAGAAAAUAGAGGAGGAUUGAGAACAUAUGUAGAUCCCUUACCAUUGUGUUAACUCAGUCAGCAAGUUAAUUCCAAACACAUGAAUCAAUGAUGCAAAAAACUAAGUAAGAUCAUAAAUUUAACCGAGAUAGCUACAAAAUCUCUAGCAGACAGACAGCUGACAUAGUUUGGGGUGGUGAGAAGGAUAUCAACAAUACUGUAAAUGGUGAUAUUGUUUGUAUCAGAUGGUGAUGACAAUUCGGUUGCGGUAAACAUCAUGGAGAUUCGAUGACAAAGUCAGUGAGAAUACUGAAUUUUUGGGAGGGAUUAAUGAACUUGCUGGAAAGUCCGUGAACCUUGAAUGGUCCCUCAAAGUGAUUGAUUCACUUGGUAUAUGUAAUGCCAACCAGUCAAUUACCACCGAGCUGUGCUCAAACUCAUACUCGUCUUAAUCAAAGAGAUGUUGAGGACAACCAUUCUUAGGAACCUGAGCAAGAACCAUGCAAUCAUGAUGGUCGCCGCAUGUUACGCUCCAGGGCAGUUUGUGAGAGGCUAGAUGCAUGAAAGCCAUGCUAGCUUCCCUUUUGCAUAAUGAGUCAACCCAGCCCAGCCGACACUUUUUAACGGAUUUGCCGAUGCAGAAAAGUGUUGCGAGUUUGAUUCCCGACGCUUUCUAAAACGUUGCAAAAGCGUCAGCAAUGCUACCAUGGAAUUUUAUGACGCUUUUGGUUUGCAUCGUGAGUUAUAACAAAUGAUGCUUAUAAAAGUUAUUAAUCGCCGAUGCUUCUACACAGCGUCGUAUAUUAGCUACAAUCACCCCCUAAGCUGGGAUCAAAUCAUUGAUGGGUUCUUCUCUACAUGAUGAUUUGCUAAUGUGAGUACUAAUUAGCAUGCUAUCAAGCUGAUGAAUAUAGUUUCCGUGCUAAUUCUCCACAUAGUUGCGGAGAGAAAGAGAGAGAGAGAGAGAUAUUUCAUUGGCCUCCCACCAAAGGUUAGCUUACAUUUUGACCAAGUCAACAGAUCUGUGAUAUAGUCAAAACCAUUCUGGUCGACAAGACUUAGUCCUACUGGUUGGUAUCCUCUCCAAGAGCAUAUUAUUAUCAUUGUAUUUCUUAAACAAUACAAAUAUGCGCACAGGCCAUCAGGCUUGACUCUGACAAUUGUUUGGAUAGGUUUGGGAAUCUUUGGCUCCUACUAUUAAACUUAGUUGCCUGUUUGGUAUGUAAGUUUGGCUCAGUAUUCAUCAAUCUGAACUUGAGCCUAGAAGGAAGACCUGGGUUAUAAUAGAGCCGACCUCAAGCUUUGCUUAAUUAAAAUUUCCCCCUCUGACUAGGCCUAUCUCAAGUGAAGGAUGUCCCAUUAGUGAAAUUACCAUUAUAUAUUUAUAUGCUUUCUUUUUGGUAAGCAUAUAUUUGUAUGUUUGAAAGUUUUACAAUAUACAAAAGCAACAUGGGCAUUUUAGUCUUUUUAAUCAAAUGCUGGGUGGACCUUAUCCUGUGUUCCUACUAUUCAUACUAGGUUUGUAUGAUCCGUCCAUUUUUAAAUAAUAAAAAAAUAUAGCUCCCUUAUAAUUUUAGUCCUUUGAAGGACUUUUCUAUAAUUCUUAAAAACAAAAGAUUUUUCCUAAGCCUAGGAUAAAACUUAAGGGCAACGAAGAUGGUGGUGAUGAACGAGACAAGCUGCAUCCUCAAAAGGGCUUUGGCUCUGUAACCUUCCCCACACCUUAUCACCCACACCACGUCGAAAGCAUCCAAAUUUCUCUUCAUCUCAUGUGCUUUUUAGUUUAGCUUCUCUUUUAUUGGCCUUUUUUUUUCUCCCUUUCUUUUUAUGUUAUAAUUUUGAUGUUAAUGUAACAUAUUUGAUUUUAUUUAAUUUUAGCUCUCCCACCCUCACUAUUUGCAGUUGUAAUGUCAUGUUAGUGUAGCACCAAAAGUUAUUAAAAAUUAUAUUUAUUUUUAGUUUUUUAUAAUUUAUUUAUUUAUAAUUUUAAUCUAUUUCUAUAUAAAAUAAUUAAUAAUUAAUAUAUUUAUUAUGUCAUUUUGAUAUCACAGUGAAACUCGGGUUGACUAGACUGACGGUUGAGCCGUUGGCCCAGUUCCUGUUCUGGUUCAAUCAACAGCCCACUUUUUACAACAUUGCGCUCGUACCCUGGUGCGAUGCAUCGUCACUGUGGACCGCACGAUCGACACCCGGGGCGGGGCCCAAACUUUUCCAAACCGUCUAAUGGGCAAAUCCCUCUACAGGGAUCAAAACCUCCUACCCGAACCGUUCGUUCAGGGGGUCCCACUUUUGUACCCCCUGAUAGUGAGCUUUGAGGGGCCGUGGAUCCAUCAGCUUCAUGGGUGUCCAUCUGGGCCUAAUCAAUAUGGGCCAUUCAGCUUCAUGGGUAUGAAUGGUGGUGGAUCCAUCACUUCGGUCGGCAGCCUGUGAUUGAUGUGAAUUGGUGGCUGUGAUCACUAGAAUGUUUUUUUUUUGUACAUCCGCUGCUUACACUAAUCUCACAUGAGCACAACUAACUGAAUCCAUAGAAAGAAAACUACUACACAGUGGUGGAGAGACAGAAGCGCAUCGAAUCUAAAAGAUUUCUCUAGAAUAUUGGGCAUUAAAUGAGGCGACUCAAUCAUCAACUCUGUUAGCCUUCCAAAAUACAUGCACAAUUCGAAAAGCACAACACUUGUUCAGCAUCAGCCGGAUAUUGCCUAGAAGUAGAUAUAAUUUAUCAGCAUAAUUUUACAAAUAUACAUCACAUCUGAUUGGAUACAAAUUUAUUCAAUUUUUAAAUUAAUUGUUUGGUUUAUGCAGUAAUUGGUUCAGGCCAUGACAGCUAUACGAUAGAAUGCUAUUUUAACAUCUUCUACUAAUUUAAAAUUGGUUUAUGGGGGGUUUAUGGGAUUUUUUUAUUCCGGGAAUAUUUGAUCUCUUGUAAUAUUGGACUUUAAUAUGGAAAAUUUUGUCAAGGAUUUUGGACAGCUGAUGGUUGUGGGGGCCCGCAACAAAGCUGGAAACAGCGAGGAUAUGGAGCGCUAAAAGCUAUUAAAGAAAUGGCUUUUCCGAAGAAGGGGCCCAAGGGAAUAGAAAUCACACAAAAAGAUGGUCAGGAUCAGCAUUAUAAUAUGCUUGUUGUCAAAAAAAUUUCCACCCCCUUUGUCUAAUUCGGAAUUACUUUUUGGGUCACAUGAACCCAACCAUGGCACUGUGCGUAUCUUAAUCAUUGAUGACAAAUGAAAUUAACUAUAAAGAUACUUUGUAGAUCUUGGGUUAUUUUAAUCCCCAUGCAUCGCAUCCAUGCCCAUUUGAUGAUUUUGGUAGAUAUUGGUGUCAGUUUUAAAACAUAAAAUAAAAUAAAAUCCAAAUAAUUUCAUCGAAUAUGGGGAUAGCUGAAGGGCUUAGCAACAAGAGGAAUAAAGCUGGCUAGUGCUAUAGUGGAAAUAACUAGAAAACUUUCCGAGCAAAUUAACUAGAAAGCUUUAGUUGAUGAAAAUUAGUCGGAAAUCAUUACUAUGAUUUUUCAGCUUUUCUUGUAAUUCUACGUACGAAAGCUUAAAAUCUUGAGAAGAAACCUAAAACCGAAUCAUAAGAUACGGAGUUAUACGACACUUAAAAUAAAUUACUUCAUACGAGCACACACAAUGUUUCAUUUCUCCUCGACGAGAAAAUUUUUCUAUUCUUGCCGUUACUUGUUUGAAGUGCAAUGCUUUAGGAAAAGGCAAAAAAAAUCAUUUUCAUCCGUACUAGAAUGAUAUGAAAGCUAAAACACCGAGGAAUGCGCGCUAAAAAGUCAUUUUCACUAGUCCCCUUCUCAUUCUAAUUUCAGAAAAGAAAUAGAAAUGCCCCGAUGCUUCAAAAUCUAAUCUCAAGUCUCCUCCAAUUCAAGUGUAUCGAGAUCAUUCUGAUUUCUAUUUUAAUUCAUUCCGAUUUGGAUUCCGAUUUCGCACCAAAAAUAUUCUAGUUCCAUUAAUGAUUAUGUACGUUAAAUGCUUUGUUGCUUAAUUCUUCCCUCUUUUUGGUAGAAAACUGCUUGAUGCUUUAAGUAGUCCUGUUCUGAGUUACAGACUUGUUCCGCAGCUACAUACGUUCACUUUCUUCAGAGAGAAGGCAUGAUACAGUGGUCCAUGCUCUCCAAUUGCUAAAUACCAAGUUCUUCAGGCAGUUUCCAAGAGAAACAACGUGUCUUUUUGGAAUAGAGGAAGAAACCCGCUGCUGUAAAAGAUGUAUGGAAGUAUUUUGUUCUUUCCAACCAAUGAUGAGCCUUUCCGAAUUGAUCAUGGGUUUAGGGAUCUGCCCAAAAAGCAAUGGCGGUCCUGUUCUCUGACACAAGAAUAUCUAGGGAACUCAAAUGGGUACCAGAGUUUCCUUCGGACCUUCCCUUGCGGACAGGAUACUACUGCUGUAUUUGCAAACGUUAUUGUGAACUUAAACUAGAUCCAUUCCUGAUUCAUUUUUUAAAAUUUCUGGUCAUCUCUAUACUGAAUUGAAUUGCUUCAGAAAAAAAAAUGUUGCUUUUACUUGCAUUAACGCUCAAGUCAUUGGGACCAAAUCCUCUUUAGGCUUCUUCAUUAAUCUAUGAGAGCAGAUGCCCCACAACCACUGUAGGUGCAAACAUUUAUUACAGUGCUUGAUGAGACAUACAUUUUAGAUGAUCAAUCCCCAUAUCCCCACCUUAAAAAGUAGUAGUAAAAAAUGAGGGCAAAGAAAUUUAAAAAAAAGGAAAAAACCUUAAAGACAAUCACACCCACUUGAUUGUGACCUCUCUCUCCCCCUCUCUCUGGCUCAGCCUUCUCCUCUUAAUUCAAUUCCUCCUCUCUAUUGCCACUUCAUUAUCUCGGCCUCCACACAAUCUCUUUCCCAUACAGCACCCAGCACCUCUCAGAAAUCAAAACCCAGUCCUGAUACACACAAACUACCUCCUCGAGCUGAUAGUUCGGAGGGAUCCAAUACCAAGCUCUCUGCUGCUGUGAAGGCCUCGGUGGCAUUGCGCUUGUGUCUGGCUCGAAAUGGGAAGACAUUCCUGCUGCUACAAGCAGAAGCUAAGGAAAGGCCUCUGGUCCCCAGAGGAGGAUGAGAAGCUCCUCAAGCACAUCACUAAGUAUGGCCAUGGCUGCUGGAGCUCUGUGCCCAAGCUAGCAGGUAACUCAACCUCUUUGGCCCAUCAAAUCCGAAAACAAGAAAUGCAUCACAAAAACAUAAUGAAUACAGACCGCUCUCUGAAUUCUAAGAGAGAAUUAUGCUUCUCAGGUCUUCAAAGGUGUGGAAAGAGCUGCAGAUUGAGGUGGAUAAACUAUCUGAGGCCUGAUCUCAAGAGAGGCUCAUUCUCACAGCAGGAGGAGGACCUCAUCAUCGAACUCCAUGCAGUCCUUGGCAACAGGUACCGAUUGCUGCAUCUCCUAGAAUUCGAUCUAUAGGGGGCUCAUGCGUAUAUCUUUCCUCCCUUUCAGAUGGUCUCAAAUUGCAGCGCAGCUGCCGGGGAGAACGGACAACGAGAUCAAGAACCUGUGGAACUCCUGCAUCAAGAAGAAGCUGAGGCAGAGAGGCAUCGAUCCCAACACCCACAAGCCGCUUUCCGAGACCGAAGGCGGAGAAGAUAAGGUCCCGGCGAACGAGGACAAGACUGCCGGAUCCAGCGAGCUGAAGCUCCUUGCCCCUCCCUCCGGGAACUUGAACUCGGUAGUUCCUGAGCUUGCUCCUCCAUUGAUGUCGAUGGUGGACGGGUCGAACUCGGAGAAUUUGGUAGCAUCCACAAAAGAUUUCUUUCUAUACCGGUUCGCCGCAGGCCAUGAGAGCUCCUCCGGCUGCCAACCCACCAAUUCGAUGGACUACUUGCCCCCCCGGAAUUCAGUUUACAGUCCCAGCUCAUCGAUGGACCAAAAUCCGCCUCUCUGGUUCAACCAGAACGCCAGGCUGCUCGACAUGAAUCCCGAGUUGACUUGCAACAUGAUGAUGUCUGCUGCUCUUCCGUCGGUCUCGAGGUCAACUGUCUCGACCUCCAUGGGUCUAAAGCCCACAGCUCGCAUGGCAGCAGACAACUCUCUCCCCGGAUUCCACUGCUUGGAGGCCGGCAACUCCAGCAACAACAGCGCAAGCAGCGGGAACAGUGGUGGCGGAAUCGAGCCGCAGAGCAACAAUUCUAUCUAUGAAAGCAGCAUCUUCCAAUGGCCGGAGUUGGUGCCGAACAGACAAGCUGAAAUCCAACUCGGAGGUGAACCAGAGGACCUCAAAUGGUCUGAGUACCUUAACGGCACCAUCCCUUUGUCCGCGGAUAUCCAAAACCAAACUCAACUUCUCAAUGGAGCUGUCAAGGAAGAGAACCAAUUUCCGAUUGAUGGGUUGAGUUCAUGGCUGCAACCUCCUGAAUUAUUCGGUAAGGACUUCCAGAGAAUUUCCACGGUUUUCAAACAAAUUUAAAUUACGAGUACACGUAACAGUCCUUGUGGAGCCUCCGAUUCACAUACAGAAGGAGUCCUUUUCACAGAGUUUCAACUUAGAAAGGCUGCUUCUAAUAGUAACUUUACAAUGCGCGCACCAUAAAAUUUUUCUCAUGUAAAUAGGCCUCAUGAUACGAAAACCUUUAGUCUUUGUUGAUCUUUGGAUAGUCGUGGGAAGAAGUGCAGAAUAAAGCCUGUUUCAGUGUAUGUUUGUUUUUGUUUUUCAUCUAAUUUCAUUAUUUUGGAACUCACAUAUUGCUAUUAUCUCAUGUAAACAAUCGUAUCUCUGCUUUGGUUUACUCCACUCUUAUUCCAUUCUCUUUUCUUACCAUUAAUGGCAUCAUUUUCAAUGAAAAAAUAUACAGUAUUUCCUAUCAAAAGCUCUCGAAGAACUCAUUAGAACUUGUGAGAACUCGUACGGACAUAUGUUUAGUUCUACAUCGAUUAUUUACUGGAUAGAUCUUGAGUACUUAUAUAGGAUUAAGAAACCCAAAUAAUAUCUUCUGACUAUUUUUUUUUGGAUGAGGUCCUGAGUUGUUACAGAAGUCAACAUAAGUUGCCAUGAAUACUAAUGCACACUGUCUGUUUUUGGGCAUGAGUUGUAGCUGUCCGCGUCUAGUUUACUCAUCUGAUAGCUACUCAGAUGGUCUCAAAUUCAAUUGGAAGGCUUUAGAAGCAGCAAACAGAGAUCGGUUGGUUCUGUAUUGCCAAGCAAGGCAGCACACUUCUCACAGGAGAAAAGAAAGCAAAUCUCCUGAAAGAAAACAAGGAUUUAUUCAAUUCACCUACUAAUCAAAGGCUAAUGACUCUCAGCCUCCUAUUAAACAUGAUGGUUCCCCCUAUCUCUAGGCAAUAUAUUAAGAUCCACAUUGGUCUAGAAAGAUUUCUCCUAUUCAACUUUUUUUUUCCCUUUGCAGAAGAUAAAACCUUUUCAUUAGAACAUUAUUUUCUGUGUGCGCGUAUCUUGGUUCGGUUGCUGAGGGAAAGAGUGGAGAGGCAUGAUAGAAAUUGAUGUGUUUUCCACUUGCAUGAUCGAUGCUUGGGAAAAGCAAAAGAAGAAAAUUAUUUAAAUAACAGAGGAGAGAGGGGUCGAUUUCCAUCAUCUUUACCUCUCAAGGUUCAUUUCAAAUUUCAUAUCCUUCCUUUUGUUUUCCCCCCCUCCUAUACAAGCAGAAGUGUCAUCACCAGCUAAAACUUUCUUGACGAGGUAGGAUUGACAGGGAUGGGACACCAUCACACGCUAAUGUGCGUUAAUCAAUUGAACGAGACACCCAUUCAUUAAAUGGAAAUUUAAAACAUGAACUUCAGAAAUAACAGAUGAAGUAAUGAUAAAAUAUUUGAUGAUGGCAUGGUAAAGAAGAAAAAGUGAACAUCGAGCGAGCACAACCAUGGUGGGGACAUGCUAUAUGGAACAGCUAUGGCUGCUUUGCUGUAUAAACAGGUUUCUUCAGCUCAUUUAAUUUAUGCUGGUCUUCUUGUCUAUUCCAAUGCAUGCGAACCAUGUUGGUAGAUUCUUUUUGUUAAGCGACAAAAAAACAGUAGACCAAAAGAAUCUAAAUACAACGAACCAUUUGAUUUGAAUUGGAAACAGGAUAAGAACAUCUAAGAAAGUUCAGUGCAAGCCUCUUUCAAGGGGAUGAGGCAAGCCUAAAGGACGCUACCAGUUUGACUGCAAAGUACCCGCAGGCACAGGUGAAACAUGAGCGGAUUGUUUAUGCAGCACUGGCUGCAUAACUGCAUGAAGGCCACGAGAGCUCAAAGAAAAGGUUAUCCUACUGAACAGAAUAUGGAUGAGAGAUGAAAAUUCAGUAGGUUUCCUGAGCUGAAUUUAGCUUGGCAUAACUUUAUCUGAUAGCUUAUUUGUGAUAUUGAAGAAUACUGAAACCGGAAAUUACAGGCACUGCUACCUUCAUCCAUUGAAAUUCUUGGAAGCACAGGUCGAAGUAGAAUUGCCAUCCAAUGAGCUAUCAUUAGGCACAAACUCAAGCAGGGGAGGCAAAAGAAACAUGCAGAUGUUAAUGUCAUGCUAAGUUGCGAACCCAAGUUACUCAAUUCAUCUUUUUCGGCACAAACUGGCACAAGACAGACAACUGGCUUACGAUGGAAAAUGGUAACAAGGGCCCUCCCUGGGAAUCAAAGAUAGAUCAUAGAAAAUUAAAAAACCAUAUGUAUCAUACUCAGGUCUACAUGUUUUAUUCCCUCAUCUGCUAAUUGUUUUUAAGGAGAAGAAAAGGACACUCGUAAACAUACUCUGAUAUUCAUAUAAAUGGAAGAAGGCAAAAGAUGAAAAGCUCUAAUUAACGUCAAGUAGAAGCAGGUCAUACUAAGAGGCCCUCCUUGUUUGGCAGAUUAAGUGGCCAUAAUCUAAUAUGAGUGGGGGAGAUUCAAUACAAGCAUCAAGCAAGGACCACCCCAGGGAGAAUGACAUCAUAUUAUUAGGAGAAAUUGAGAAACUCAGAUGGGCCUCUGGGAGUAAAUCUGUACACCUCUUGUGUUGUGGCUCUGUUGCCACUAAGCUCUGUCUCCCUGUUACAAGUUUAUUGAAUCUUUCACCUGAGAAAGUAAAAAUAAAAAUAUUGAAUUAUGGCCUCUAAUUCAUAAAUUGGCUAUACCUUUCUCUGAUAUGAGAGUAAUUUUACGACAAACAGGUACAAAGAUAGGACAUCCCGCAACAAGAACACUUGGCGAAAAACAGUGGCAGGACAACAGUCACCAAAUAACAAGGAUUAUAUUUAGGAAAUUGAAGUCAGGCAGAUUACCUUUGGACUGAGACGCAUUUGUUUCUUAUUAACUUCUCCCUAAAAAUAUUUCAGCCCAUUUUUCGUUGCAAACAUAGUUCUCUAUUUCAGUUAAUAGACGUGCUGCUGGGGUGAUGCGCCACCAAUAGCAUCAGAAAUUGACAAUAUAAAUCCUAACACUAUAUAAAAGCAGCUAUCUUUCCCAAGUUUCCAAUUCCCAUAAUAACCUUCAUUAGAUUUCUUCUUAGAUGCCUGAAACAUGCUAAACUUAUAUGGGGAAGGAUCCUAAGAUUGCUGGUCUCAUAAGUAGACAUAAAGAAGUCCAAAAGAGAGUUGUCGAAGAGAAAAAUUCCCUUUUGAGUUGCGAUUUUCAUGAUUCAAUGCAUAAGAAGAGUCCUACAUCCUCAAAAUUGCAGAUUAAUAGUCAUUUCUGGGUUAUAGCAAAACAAAAGCUAAUCUACAUGAGGAACGUAGUAUACCAAAUAAAUCUUAAACAAUUUCAUAAUGAAAGCAAAUUGGCAGUCAGUUCAUGCAUCUUUAAAAUAUAUCAUAUAGUUGCAAUCAUUAGUUGUUGCAACGUGCAUCAACAUGUGCAUUAUAACUAGUAUACUCCUAAGCAUAUCAUAUUAUUCCUUGCUUUAAUGUUUGAAAGGAAGCAUUGAAAAAAUUAAGGGAUGAUUUUGCAUGCAUACAGAAACUUCUAGGGAAAGCUGGGACCAGGAUAAACUUUUCUGAGCAAUGGUAAUGGGGCAAACUUACUUGCCAGAAAUUUUCUUGUCUUCCUCAUAUAUCUUACCAUGAUUCUUUAUGAUUUUCCUGAUUGAUCACUCCAUAGAGUGAGAAUAGUAAAACUGCCAAGAUGCUCAAAUACAUUCACCUUGAUCAAACUUAAAUGGUUAUCAAGAAGGAAAACAACAAAAUCUUUCUUACAACUACCAGAAUUCUAUAACCUUUCCUCUUUGAAUAUAAUCAGGAAAGAAUAUAUGUUGGACAGUGGAAGAGCCAGCAUGUCACUUGCACAAGCAGAAUUCUGUUUUUGCUUCUGCUUUGUUAUUCUUUGACCUUAUUAUGAAUAUGCAGCUACAACAAAUUACAAUCGGAAAAAUAUUUUGAUAAUAAUUGAAUAAAUCUUAACGAGAUACAAGAUUAUGGCAUGUCUUGUCGCAAGGAUAUGGGCAGUCUAUUUCCCUGACUUGAGCUCGAUCAAAGUACCAGUCACCAACAGACUUUGCAAUCCCCUGCACAUGAACAGCCAAUGUAAAGAUAAUGGGUGAGAUGAGGAAACAUCUGUGAAACGGAAAUGGAGAAAGAAUUCUGGUUUCAUAGACCAAGUAGCUAAGAACAUGCUGAUGUAGAAGGCUAAACAGCAAACAUUCCCAUCUCAAUUACUUUUUCACAAAAUCAAGAGACUCUAGAUAUAAAAUAUAAAAAUUUGUAUCUGAAAGCAACAGAUAUAGCAGCAAUCACAUCUCAGUCUUUCCCAAGCAAGCAUUCAUUGCUGUACACAUCUGCUUCUGUUUAAUUUCUACGUGUUUAAAAUGCUGAUUUGAUCAUUCUGAGUAAAAGAUCUAGGAAUUUUGGAAUUUCAGCUCCUCUAUUUUUUGGCAUGUCCUUAAAAAGAAGAAAUGAAGAGUUAUAAGACAUUAAUGCAGUGCAGAGGGAGGAACAACCCCAGGGCUGCCCAAAGGGGCAAAGGAAAGACCAAUGCCUAAAGUUUAAGCCAGAUUAUGAAACCACAUUUCAAAAUCGACACUGACUCCUCCGAUUGACAACGAAAGAACAAUCUCUUUCUUUUUAAUUCCUUUCCUCCUUGGUGAGACAAGGAAUUUCUUGUUUUUCGCUAGUGGAAUGGGAAAAAAAGGAUCAAAAAAGGGGAAGGUUGCACUACUUUUUUGGCUACCAAAAACUAAGCACCUUACGAUACAUCAACCGAGAUCUCUAAUUUCAAUCUGUGUCAGCAUAGCUUUGAAUAGUCACAGAAGAUAUUAGCAUUUAACUAGUCUCCCCUUUAAGAUGAGAAUCUACCUCAUUUCUUUGGGUUGUUCGUAUGUCGACUAAUUUUUGGAUCUUUCUAAGAAACUAAGGGGAAGAAAAAAAUCUAUUAGAUAAUCGUACAGCAUCAGCCUUGACACUCAGACAUUGCCAUGGAUAAGCAGGACAAGGACAAUCCCAUGAAUUGAAAUUUGUUUCGGAUUCUUCUAACCAUAUUUAAGACGAGCAUCACUUUUGUUACGCAUUUUUACUAUCGGACUACUAUACUAGUCCAAAUAUGAUUAAUAUUUUCUUAUUAGUCUUGGUACUCUUUAUUUAUUAGGCACAUUGUUAGGCUUAGGGUCUACCGACCGGGCCGAAUCACCCAGUUCAGGCAGUACCGAGCCGACCUGGUGCAAAAUCGGAUCGGUUCGGCAAUUCUAUUCGGUUCUAGCUGGAGCGGCUAUUGAGCCAGCUGAAACGGGUCAGUUCGGUACCAACUCGGUGCAAACCAGCCGGUUCGUACCAAGUCAACCCGGUUUCGAACCGGAUUGGGCAUGAAAUUAUUGCCACUACCACCUGAUGCCUUCUACAUUGAGAAGGCCCAAGAAGGCCUUCCCAAUGCACCCAAAAAAUACACAAACAACACUAAUUCAGGCUAUUAAAAAAAAGAUCCUGGGCUAAAUAAGGUGUGCUUCCUCUUUUCUAUCUCCUUUUUUUCUUUUUUUUUUAUGGAAGGCUUGAAAAAAUAGCUCAAAAAUUACAAAAUAAGAGAAGAUCAUGCCAAAAAUUUUGAUUUGGGCUUGAAUUUUUUUGUAUGUUGUAGAUCUAUGGAUGAUGUACACGCUAGCAUAAAAAAUUUUAAUAUUUAAAUUAUAUAUAAUUUUUAAAAUUAAAAAUAUAAUUUUAGAUUAAAAAGGAUAAUUUUUUCAAAAUAAAUAAAAAAUAAAAAAUGUAAAAAAAAUAGAAACGUAUUUGAAGGCAAGAACUUUUAAGAAAAAGGCUUCCCUAAAUUUUCGUGGCAUCCGGAUCGGGAUACCCCGGCACGAAGACCGGCCCCUCUUUUCGGUGAUGACUUGCCGCGGGAAAACUACUCUCCAUAAAAAUUUGGUGUCCAUUUAUUCAAGUUUUGAUGUGAUCAUGCGCACAGUAGCCUAAGCCUAAAUUUGAAAAAAAAAUGAGAAAGAAGUAGCCUUUGAUGCAUGCCCGAAGGCCCAAAAAAAAUAUAUGUAGCAUUCAUUGUUGGGUUCUAUAUGAAUCUGAGCUGAAAUUAAUUUUUUUAAAUAUUAAUAUUUAAAAAUUAUUUUUAAAUUCGAAAAUAAUAUAAUAUAAAAAUUAUACCAAAAAUUAGAAAAAAUUAGUAGUUCGUAUUACAUAAUUCAGAAGUAAUUUCUGAGGUAUAAAUCAAUUUUUUGAACUUUAUGAUAUUUAAACAUAUUUUUAAAUUUAAAGAUUAUUUAAAAUAUACAAAUAAAUAAAAAAUUAGGAUUAUGUAUUAGAUAAAUCCGAUGUAUUUUUUAAGAUAAAAAAAUUAUCUUCAUCAUAAAUUAAUUUUUUAUUUUUAAAUAAUUGAUAAACUAACGUACUUGAUAACCUGGAAUGGAGCCAUCAAGAAAAGAGGAGUUCAAAAAAUCAUAGGUAAAUGCUCUCGAGCCGACACUAUUGAAUGUGCAACUGAUACAACAUAGAGUUCAAGGAAGGAAGGUUAACCAGAUUGAAGCAGUAUUUAAUUGGUGGUUACCCUGAUAUAUCUAUAUGCUGGAAAUGCCCACAAGAGGUUUAACAGUUGAUGAAGAAGCACUUCACUAAUUUCAGAGCAGCAAAGAAGAGAGUUGCUACGAAGAAAAUGGAGAUAGACCGUCGAGCGGCAGAGCUAGGGCUGGCCCAAGCCUUAGAUGAUCGAGGUGGUCGCCUAAGGCCUCGGCCCAAAGGAAGGCCUCCGGGAGAGUUGCUCCAGCGUAGGUUCGUAACUCUGCCUAACCCUACGAACCAAGCAUCCAGGCAUCCAGGCGUGGCACCGUGGCCAACGGGGUUACGGCUUACGGCCUACGGGACAAGACGUCUUAGCCGUCCCCCAUCCAUAGAUCGUCUUCUUAGUUCUCCAGCGUGGCCCGUCUUCUCCAUCCGACCAUCCGCCGUAGUCACCAGAUCCAGAAUCCCAUAUAAUCAGAGUCCAAGGCCCUCUAAAGUUCUAAACUCUUCAUCUCUUCUUCUUCGGUUCUUGAAUAACUGAGUUCCUUCCUGAUCCUCGGUUCCUAAGUUCCUCCAUCCUCGGUAGUCGGUCCUCCUUAGUUCUUCCGGGUUCCGACUUCCGUCCGUCGCCGGUUCGCCCGUUCGCCGUCCUUGGUUCUCAUAGUCUCACUUCGCCCGUUCGCCACUGGCCCACUCGCCAUCAUCCUCAUCGGGCCGGCACUCUGCACUCGGCCGAAGAAAGUGACGAGGGAUCAGGGAGGCGACGUCGCCGGCAUCUCUUCUCCAGUUCUCCUUCUCGGUCCUCCGCCCUCUCCAGGUGAGCUUCCGACUUCCGGUUUCCUUUUUUUUUUUGACUUCAGUCUUCCAACCAAGGGGUAAGGGGCAAGGGGCAAGGGUCCGGGCCCCUGGGGACUCCGGAAUCUAGUAGUUUUAUUUAUUUUUUUUGCUGCCGAGAAGCGGAGAAGGAUUUUUUUUUAUAUAUAUAUAAGUUUUGGAGGAAGGGGAUUUCUUUAUCAGUUUAUUGGGUAACUCCUAGGCUAGUUCUGCAAAAUGGUGCAUUCAGGGUUCACAAAAGAGUCAGAUUCAUACACGGAAUAGGCACAAGCCAGGCCUAAUCCUACAACUCGACCUGCUUUAGGAUAGGGCAAAAUUUUUUAUCUAUGUAUCUGGAAAUUGAUUUGGAUUAUUUGACUCAACAACACAAAGAAGACCACCUCUAAUUCUCAAGGGCUGGAGUAUUUUGUUAUAUACUACUCAGUUUUCGAAGACUUUUAUCGAAAUAGAAUUGCCAGUUGGCCCAGUUCAACCUACUACAGUGCUGCUUAAACCUCUUGGUAGAUAUUAUUAGAGGCUUUGAUUUGAAUCCUAGCUGAGAAGUAUGUACUUGAGUUUUUGAUCCUAUCUGCCGACAGACUUGGAUUUUGAUUAAGCAAAUUGCUUGCCAAUUGAACAUUUCUCUUGUUUAAGAAACAAAUUAACUAUCUUCAUUUUGGAUUCAAAUAAAGAUGAUGGUGGGAUUUAAAUGAAUUUUUAAAGUAUUUUACACUUAUUAAUUUUUUUUAUUUUUUUUAAAAAGGCCUCCUUUAGUGAGUCCGCCUUAGGCCUCCAAAUACAUUGGGCUACCCCUAGACAGAACCACCUUUCUAUUACUCCAAAGAGUCAGAGGAGGCAUCCGCUCUAGAUGACAAGGAGGCAAGAUCCAGGCUAACAUGCCAGCGAGCCAGAUGAUCAGUGGCAGUAGGAUGAGGUGGCCAGGUAUAGGGCUCAAUUUGGGCCCUUGUAUUACGAGUCGGGCUCCGGUUCUACAAGCAGCAGGCUAGAUCUAGAGUUCAGAAGGACCACCUCAGUCAGGAAGGCCAUCAACAGAGGCGGUGGCCGGAUUGCAUGUAUGUUGGAGACUUUCGGUAGUAGAAAAAAGUCAUCCAAAGAUAUUCCACCGGCAGCAGCAAUCCAUGAUUUAGAUCCACAUGCUUUUUCUAACAUAGAUUUGAAGCUAUUGAAUCCUAGUUCCACUUUAGCCACAUUCCAGUGAAUGUGGCAGACAAUACGUACUACAACGCUGCUUGGUUAGAGGGGUGGGUUAAUAUAAAUCCUACCUAUACUGAUGAUUCGGAUAUCUACGAGAGGCAUCACUACUCGAUCCGAUUUUAGAUAUCGAUUGUAUGUUGAACUUUAAAUGUAUGUAACUGAUUGUAUUAUUUUUAAUUUUUACAUUACUACUUGAUUAGAGGAUAUUUUAUAUUGUUCAUUUUAUAAUUUGUACCAAUUUAAAGUAAUAAGAUGCAUCAUAUAGGUUAAACUAGGAUCAUAGAAACAUCAAAAAAUAUAAAAAAAAUCAAAUUAGACUUAAAUUUAUUGAAAAAGAUCAAAAAGAAUGAUUACCAAUUAAUUUUUUUUGAGAACUCAAAAAAAAAGGUGAACAGUACUGGGCGUCGACCGGUACGGGUUCCGGUACCGGUUCGGCGUACCUUGGUUAGGCUAUAUAUUGAUGUGCAUAUUGGUGACUAUAUACAAUAUACAGAGAUUUCAUCUUCUACCUUUGUGCUAAUAUGGUAUCAGAGCAAUCUAACACUGAACACUAAAUAGUAGGUACCUAUCAAGAAAAACCUAGUUAUGAAGUUACAGCCACUUUAAAUUCUGAUGUUGAAAAUCUUUUGCAAAGGAUUUAGGUAUUCUAGGAAAAGAGCCCACUCAACAUGACCAAUAAAAGAAAAAAAUGAGAAAAUCUGUAUAUGGUUGAACUUAUUACUCCAUCUCCUACUCAGUAGAUAGUAUCAUAGGCUACCAUGAAAUUUAUCUCUAACACCGAAAAUAAGGAGAUAGUUCGAAAACAAGGAGAUAGUUAGCAUGUUUAAUUUUUUCAAAUCUUUAUCAAAUGCAUGGAAAUAAUUUUUAACAUUUUAGCAUUUUACUAUAUAACUAAUUUAUCUCUAACCAGAAAUGAAUACCAAAUAUGGCCGUACCUUGUCUUGGAUAGUUGGAGAGUUAUCUCCAUACCAUGUAUCCUGUUUCUCUGAUUGGCAAUGAGCAAAACAUGAAUUAAUAAAUAGUCCAUUUUGCUUGGAAUUUGAGAACCCUUUUGUGGCGUCAAGCAUUUGGUUCCUGAAUCCUGAACAACAACAUGUAUGGAUUACAUGUUAGAACGGAACAUUCCAGAUUAAACCAAGCAGUGACAAAGAACCCAAAUAGGUACCUUGCAGAAACUUUAUUUGAUCAUCAUUGCACUUCAAAUAAUUAUAUUUGCAUGCUUGCCAAUGACCUUUAGGAUCAGCAUUCUUGGUGGCUAAACUUUGUCGAACCUGAUGACGUAAUGAAGGUGGAAAAACAACUUGAUAGAAUGGAAGCAAACAAUUUCUCAAAACAAAAAGAAAGAAAAAAUAAUGGAAGCAGUCAAUCUAGCUAUUCCUAUAUUUUCGUAAGUCCAUAUUGAUAAAUCCAAAAGAAAAUUUAAUUUAAUAGAGCCCCACUAGGAAUUGCAGUCAAAACAAAAUCUGCCAUUGGUCUGUGAAACAACUUGCUAUAAAAAUGGCCCGUACUAUAGGCUAAAGCUGGAAUAUACCUGCCAUACAUCAUAUGCUGCAUUCAGAAGAAAAGUUGGGGUCUGAAUAAUGCUCAAUAAAUUCUGUGGAAAGAAGCACUGCAAAAAAAAAGGGAAAAAAGUUUUGAUCACAUUAUUUCUUAGUAGUUCUGUAGGAACAUCUUUAGUGGGGAAACCAAGAUUACCGAAGUUGCGUCCAUCUUGGCAGUACAAGUUCCUGGCAAGUUCUUGGCCACUCCCUUUCAUGAGUAGGAAAUAAAGUUGUCAGCAUAAUGCGCUCAUAAGCAGAUUCUUGCUACCCAUAUAGAUAAAAACAAGCACAGAGUGCCAAUAUGAAAGUCAUUGUUAAGCGCAGAGCACAUUUCCAAUUAUCAACAAAUUAUAUUAAGCAUAGUUUAUUGAAUGGAAGAUCCACAUUAGUAUCUCUUUUAUCUACUCCUAUCAUCCUUGAACAUAUAAAAUGAGAGUAAUGAUGAUGAGAUUACCUGCAUAGUUACUACACCUUCAUAGAAGGAUCUUAGAGUGCGCCCACCAGCUACAUCAGUACUGCAAUGCAUAUAGAAACAAAUAAAUAUAGCAGACAUUCAAACAAAUAUUAGUAAAAGUUAUGUUGGAUCAUUUAUCAAUUUAUAGCAUAUCACUAAAGUGUCCGUUCACAUAAUUACGGAAGAUUGCAAUGUCAUUCAGAAAAAGAUAGAAUAAAGUAAAUAAAAUAUUUCCUGGCAACCAAUGAAAAUUUGUUUUAUAAUAAGCAAAAAGGUGAGUCAUACACAUCAAGGAACAAUCCAGCAUCAGCUAGGCACUUGACUUUAGUGUUUGCUGGAAGUAGUGCCCAAAACUCAUCACAGUGUAGUAUGGAAGCCAGACCCCCAGCAGAGCAUCCAGUAAGAAAGGCCUGGAAACAUCAAUUAUAUAAAAUCCGGAAUUAAUUUGAAAUCAUAUCCAAAAUAACAUAUAGGAGUAAGAUUAAAAGAAAAACCUGCUCUGCUGAAUGCAUUCCUUUUGACAUCAGGUCUUCCAUUGCAGCUGAAAAGAUACGUUGUCCUCGAAAAUAAAGGCCAGCAGCCUAUAUAUACAGCCCAAACAAUUUAAAACUAUCGGUAUAUAUAUGUAUCUGAUCAUUAUUUCAUAGGAAUCAAUUUGGCUGAAAUUAAAAUGUAUCAUCAUAGAGGACUAGUCACACCAUUAUGAGUCUAUUGACUGUGGAUACUACAUUGUAGUUCCCAGCAAAGAGCUUGUAAUGAAAUUUAGAAGUGAUCCCACUAACCUCAUUAUAGCCUUCACCUGCAAAUGAUGCACCAUCACAAUAGCGAAUUCUAACUCUGUUCCAGUUGUAGAAGUCUGGAAACAUUAUAACCAAAAUGGACAUGACAUUGAGUCCAAGAUUCGACCAACCACCAAUAGUUUAUUUCCACAGGUAGAAAAGCUACAUUUCUAAACAAAAAGCAAGGGCUUUUGAUAACAAUUACCUGGAUUUUCUUCGGGUUUGUUGCUCAAUAUUCCAGUAAAUGGUAUCUGUUUCUCCAUGUAGUUUGAUGAACCACGACGAGUUGUUUUGCGGUAUACACAUGUGCUGAUAUCAUUGCACCAGCCUCCCCCCUAAAUGUAUUCAAAAAUAGAAAUUGAGCAAAAGUUAUAUGUAUCUACAGCUCGUAGUUGCAUCAUCUGGGUGUAUAAUCAGUGUGCCCUCUACUACUAGCAUGCUGCAGGUCACAUGGAUUAAAAUUUGUAACUUUUUAACUGCAAGUCCUUUUUAACUUUGUAACUGUAAUUCAUUCACCUCUAGUUCAACAAGCCAAUUGUUUGCUCCUGAACCAGACCCUGGAUGCAGGUGGUAAGCACUUGGCGUUCCAUCCAAACAGACUGCACACACCAAAGAAGCCAAUUGAUCAACAAGUAAUUAUCUGUUUCACCCAAGCUGUUCGCUCGAGGUUAACUUGAAAACCACUAGGAGAGAUAAAAGAAGUGGAUAGCACCAAAAGAAAAAAAAAAUCUUUAGACUGUGUUUCCUGAAUUCUAACCCUUAAGACUGUACAAAAGAAGAAAGAUACAGGCUUAAUUUAAAAUCUAGGAUCUGGUUAGAUUGCUGUCAUAUCAACUCAUUCCACAUUAAAGUGAAGAAGAAAGUGAUGUUUCAGUGGUCGUUUUCUCACAAACCAUUAAUACUUCAUGCUCAAAUAGAAAUGCUCUGUUUUCUGAUUAACUUGGAACAGCAUAUUUUUACUUAUAUUUUUUCCCGUUAGGAGAUUCAGAUUUAAUAAACAAGACAACAUUCAAACUAGUUAUGGAUUAUAAAAUUGCAAAGCAUUAUUGAAUUGCUUUCCUUGCAAUAAUUUCUUGGCUGAAUACAGUAACAGAUUAAUAUGGUAUUUCAGCUAAAAAGGAUCUUGAGAAAACGAAGACCCCGUGGUGAGAGGCCUUGUUGGGAAAAUCUAGCUUGAACUAAAUUUACAAGUUAGGAAGAGAUACUAUUGGAGCUCUGGUGACAUAGGAAAUGAUAAAACCAGUAGCCCUAACCACACCGCGGAACAGAAGCAGAACCAUGAAGAGGAGAAAUGUGUCUCUGAAAAACAUUACAUGGCCAAGCAAAACGAAUCUCGCGAUCUAGCAUGGCAGGUAGGAACAAUAAACUUGCUUAUAUUAAAAAAAAUGAAAAUAUUUGUGGAUGCAUGUGUAUAUAUUUAUAGAUCAAGGAACCCAAAUUGUGGACCAUAAAAGAUAACUUAGAAAAAGAAUGUCUUUCCAAGAAAAAAAAGGAAAGAAAGAAAAAUCAUAUCGAAAGAUAGACAUGAUGGAAAUCAUGGGGGAGCAGCAAAUUGACCUGUUCAAACACAAGCAGACAGAAAUAACAGAAAGGCAGCCAUAAUGCCUCCAACAAGUCAAAUGAGCGUUAAAAAUUUAAGGAUGUAUGUACUGGCUAAUUAUUUUUAAAGCUUAAAAGAAAUUAACAGGAGCAGAACACAGAUCAAACCACUAAGAGAUGUAAAGAGCAGCAUAUCCAAUAACUGAAUAUACAACAAUGCAAUUUCUCGAACAUCAUAAACAAUAAUAACAUGAAAGACAGUCUACAGUUUUAAUGAUUGCAUAUCAGCAAAUCAUUCAUGGGAAAUAUUUAGAAAAAAAGAACAGCAGAAUUUAUACCAAACAAAACAGGGACACAUAGGAGGAGUGUGGGAGGCAGCAAAGACCGUACCAGCCCCAUUUUCGGUAGCAGAUCGAAUGAGGGUCAGAUCUACAAGGAGAGGCUGAGGGGCACUCCCAUUAACUCCAUCCAAGUAGUCAUAGCCCUGAACGCGCCUCACCACAACCAGCACAAGUAGCCCAACAACCCAGAGAGCCUUCAUGGGUUAUUGGAUUCUCUCCUCCCCUCUCUCUCCCUCCUCCUCCUCCUGGUUCUGUAGGCACGGAAGAAGGGAAAUGAAAGAACAGGGGAAGAGACCGAAGGCCGGCUAUGUAUAGGAGAGAGUCUCAGAGGCAGGAAAAGAGAGAAGGUAUCCGACCAAAAACAUGAAUGAAAAUAUUAAAAAAAAAAUAAUGCAGUCCUUUCAGGAAAUUUAGAUACGGUGAGUAAAAUGUGCCGCAAACAAAGGUAACCAUUCUCUCCAAAAAUGAAAAAUAUAGAUAAAAGAGGACACGGGUUUCCUGGCGUUAUUCGUUUCUUAUUUCCAUAAAGUGGGCCCCAUAUUGAACGCAGUAAUUGAACGCGAGGAUUUAAAUGUUUUCCUUAAAUGACGUUGAAACGGCGGAUCUCGCCCGCUCUUCUGUACAGGGAGCCGAUGGAUGAUUUCGGAAAGAAGAUCUUUAUCCUUCAAUGCAAUAAGACUUCUUACCUCCUUUGGCUCCUGGGGACCGUGCGGAGAUCGAAGAUAAGUUCGAGGGAUCUGGGAAAGAGAUUUUGUGUGCGGGAACGAGUUCUAUGUUGGGCAUAGGUGGAACGCAUUUGUGAAAGAGAAAAAUUACUUAAGCAGCAAAUGGUUGUGAUGGAAUUUUCUUUUCAUAUACAUGCACGAACGCAUUUUAACGGAGAUGGCCUUUUAGGGAAAAUAAAUUUUUUAUUACUACUUAUAAGCAAAGGUUGGAUUGAGCAAUAAAUGUAAUACAAUUAUUAGCAGUGUGCUGCAAACGCCAACCUAAAUACGAGUAAAUACUCCAAACUAGAAUUGCAACGUCAAAAUAAAAAGGCAAAGCUUCAUUAGGCGGAGUUUUUGGAGCGCCUCCUUUCUGGCUUUUCAAAGACACUUUUAGAUAAAAUAAGUGUGUUUGGUAAAAAAAUUGAAAAGUUAUUUUAGCUUUGGCAGAAAGCUAAAACAACUUUUUUUUUUUUUGGAGAAGCUCCAUCUCCAAAAAAAAUAUUUUUAAGCCCCUGGAAAAGUUAUUUUGAGCUAUAAAUUUUUUUCUUUUUGGACUAUAAUACCAAUGAUAAAAUAUAACAAUUACAGAAAAUAAUAUUAAUAUAGAAUUAUAAUAAUUAUAAUAUUUUAUAUAUUUAUUAUUAUGUUGUACUAUAAAUAUAAUAUUACAUUACAUUAUAUCAUAAUACAUUGAUGUAUUAUAUUAUAUAAUAUCAAAUUAUGCUAUAUUAUUAUGCUAUAGUACACAAUAUAUUAUAUUACUAUAUUAUAAUAGUAUUAUAUUAUAUAACAGUAAUAUUAUACUAUAUUAUAUAUUUAUGUAUUAAUAUAUAUUAUAUUUUAUUAUGCUCUGUUGUAUAAUACUAUGUAAUAUUUUUUAUGGUCAUUUUGUCAUAUCAAAUGUACUUUCUCAGUCUGUUCACUAAAUAUAUUAAAGUCUCACAUCAUUUUAGAAAUGUAAUUACCAAACAGCAAAUAGCUUUUUAUAAAAACUCUACUUCAAAAAGUUCUACUUCCAAAAGCUCUACUGCCAACAGCUCAACCAAAUGAGGCCUAAGUCCAUUUCUAAUUUUUUUUUUUAAUGAAAGAUUAGACUAAGGUUAAUGGCUUUUAUUAAGAGUCAAUCUUUUCCUGAUCAACCCGGAGUUGAUUGGGAAUAAUUUCUUGAUGUGAUGACAGAUAAUUAAAUAUGAUGAAGAAGAGGCUCUUAAGUGUCUUCCUAGUCGAGUAGUUUUUGAAAUAGCACCACAUCACAUGAAAGAGCAAAGAUGUUCACGUAGUUGACUUUAAAAACGUUCAUGGCUGUCGUUAUCUUGGUCCGGAAUUAUUCUCAAGUCCACUCCACCGACCUUAGGAUGUUGGAUUUGAGAGAUCAGUUUCACCACCCUCUGGACGCUGCAGUGUCGGUCAACUAGGAUUUGCCAAUAUUUCUCAGCGUUAAAAAGGUGGGUCCAGAGACCAAAUUAAUCACCACCACCGGAUGCAUGUUUUUCUCCCGUAUCUAUUAGUGAACUGGGUUGGAUUCUCUCUAUUGAAUUGAGGGAAAAAAUAAAACAAAAACCAAAGUUAAUAUUCGUUAUAAGACGAUCAUACGAAAUGAAGAAAACACAAUAGCAUGGACUUUUAAAUAAAUAAUUUUUGUUGCUUGGAAAUGAUAUUAAAACCAUUACUAGAUCUGAAGCCACACUACACCAACCCCACUAUCACUCCGAGCAAAAAGCACCAUCCUAGAUUGAUUCUGCUUUACUUACAGUUCGAUGGAGGGCCAUUUGAAACAUUGCUUUCUGCGCGUGCGUAUCUUGGUUCGGUUGCUGAGAUGGAGGUCAUCUUGAGGUUGCCAAGGGAAAGAGUGGAGAGGCAUGAUAGAAACUGAUGCGUUUUCCACUUGCAUGAUCGAUGCUUGGGAAAAGCAAAAGAAAAAAAUUAUUUAAAGAAUAGGAGAGAGAGGGGUCGAUUUCUAUCGUCUUUGCCUCUCAAGGUUCAUUUCAAAUUUCAUAUCCUUCCCCCUUUUUUUCCCCUCCUUCCCCUCUCAUACAAGCAGAAGUGCCAUCACCAGCUAAAACUUUCUUGACGAGGUAGGAUUGACAAGAUUUUUUAUGAGAAUAGUGAUUGAUCAUUUUCUAGAAUGAGAAUAGUUGUAACAACUCAGGAUCUCACCCAAAAUGGCUAGCUACAGGGUAUUAUUUGGAUUUCUUGAUCCUUUAUAAGUAUCCAAAAUCUACUCAACGAAUAACUGAUAUGAAACUAAACACAUGCUUACACGGAUCUUCACAUACUUCUCAUGUUUAAGCUCUAACGUGCUUAUCAGACUAAAAGUUUAAAUUUAUUCAAAUCUAAUCACAAACACCACGAUCAGUCUAUGAUCAGUCUAAACAGAACCGUGUUGUAGUGUCUCCUAGUCCACAUAGGUUAUAAGCUGGAUCUGCUUUGAUACCAUUUAUAACAACUCAAAAUUUCAUCCAAGAUGGCUAGCCAGAAGGUAUUAUUUGGAUUUCUUGAUCCUGUAUAAGUACCCAUGAUCUAUCCACCGCAUAACCGAUAUGAGACUAAAUAUAUGCCCGCAUGGAUCCUCACAAUAGUAACCCUGCCAAGAUGCUCAAAUACAUUCAUCUUGACCAAACUUAAAUGGUCAUCAAGAAUGCAUCAAAAUCUUUCUUGCUACAACUAUCACACUUCUAUAACCUUUCCUCUUUGAAUAUAGUCAAUAAAGGAUAUAUGUUGGAUGGUGGAAGAGCCAGCAUGUCACUUGCACAAGCAGAAUUUUAUUUUUGCUUCUGCUUUGUUAUUUUUUUUUUUUGUUGUACCGGCAUCUCGCGACAUUCAAAUGUGAGUACGCCUCGAAGAAUCCAAAUACAAAACAUGGCCAAUCCCCACGGAAUGAAGUCAGUGCCAUUCGAAGAGAAGGCUUCGGAAUGAUGUGCUACGAAAGAGGUGACUCAGUCGCCGCACUGUUCGCAUUGCGGAAUACAUGUACGACCCCAAAUGAGUCGAGACUCCCCAACAGGUGGCAGAUAUUCCAGACUAGUGGGUGUAGAUCUGGCCCGGCAUGCCCACCCCUAAUCCACUCAAAACUGUGGCCGAAUCGCCCUCCAACAGAAUACGCUGAGCCCCUAUGUGCACUUUGGUAUGAACGAGGCCGUCCCACACUGCGCGCAGCUCCGCCACUUGGACAUACUCAUCAAAAAUGUGACGCUCCCCUGUCGCAAUCAGCCUGAGCUAAUGAUCUCAAAUCACAAAACCCACACCACAUCUACCACCAUCCUCUGAAAUACUAUUUUGUUAUUCUUUGACCUUAUUAUGAAUAUGCAGUUACAACAAAUUACAAUCAGACUAAUAUUUUGAUAAUAAUUGAAUAAAUCUUAACAAGAUACAGGAUUAUGGCAUGUCUUGUCACAAGGAUAUGGGCAGUCUAUUGCCUUGACUUCAGCUCGAUCAAAGUACCAGUCACCAACAGAUUUUGCUAUCCCCUGCACAUGAACAGCCAAUGUAAAUAUAAUAGGUGAGAUAAGGAAACAUCUGUGAAACAGAAAUGGAGAAAGAAUUCUGGUUUCAUAGAUGAAGUAGCUAAGAACAUGCUGAUGUAGAAGGCUAAACAGAAAACUUUUCCAUCUCAUUUAUUUUUUCACAAGAUCAAGAGAAUCUAAAUACAAAAAAAUCAAAAUUUAUAUCUAAAGGCAACAGAUGUAGGAGCAGUCACAUCUCAGUCUUUCCUAAGCAAGCAUUCAUUGGUGUACACAUCUGCUUCCGUUUAAUUCUACGUGUUUAAAAUGCUGAUUUGAUCCAGAAGAAUGAUCAUUCUGAGUAAAAGAUCUAGGAAUUUUUGGAAUUUCAGCUCCUCCAUUUUUUGGCAUGUCCUUAAAAAGAAGCAAUGAAGAGAUUUAAGUCAUUAAUGCAGGAAAAAAGGGGAAGAUUGCACUAUUUUUUUGGCUACCAAAAACUAAGUACCUUACGAUGCACUAACCGAGAUCUCUUAUUUCAAUCUGUGUCAGCACAGCUUUGAAUGAUCACAGGAUAUAUUAGCAGUUAUGUAACUAGCCUUUCCUUUAAGAUGAGAACUAUUCGGUUCUGGCCGGAACCGGCCGGUUCGGUGCCAACUCGGUGUGAACCUGCUGGUUUGUACAGAGUCAAUCCGAUUUUGAACCAGAUUGGGUAUGGCAUUAUUGCCACUGGCACCUGAUGCCUUUUAUGUUGGAAAGGCCCGAGAAGGCCUUUCCAAGGCCUUUCCAACACAAAUUGAAAGCGGCUCCACCGCUUUUACUUUCUAAAAAAUUCACAAACAACACCGAUUCAAGCUAUCAGAAAAAAGAUCUAAGGCUAAAUAAGGUAUGUUUUCUCUCUCCUCUCCUUUUCUCCUUUUUUAUGGAGAGCUUGAAAAAAUAACUCAAAAAUUGCAAAAUAAAAAAGAUCAUAUUAAAAUUUUUGAUUUGGGCUUUUUUUUAUAUAUUGUAGAUCUAUAGAUGAUGUACACGCUGACAUAAAAAAUUUUAAUUUUUGGAAUAUAUAUAAUUUUUAAAAUUAAAAAAAUAGAAUUAAAAAAAUAAUUUUUAAAAAAUAAAUAAAAAAUAUAAAAAUUAGAAACACAUUUAGAGACAUAAAAGCUACUCUCCAUAAAAAUUUAGUAUCCAUUCAUUCAAGUUUUGAUGUGAUAAUGCACACAGUGGCCUAGACCUAAAUUUGAAAAAAAAUUAAGAAAUAAGUAGCCUUUGAUGCAUACCCGAGGACCUAUAAAAAUAUAUGUCGCAUCUAUUAUUUGGUUCUACAUGGAUCUGAUCUAAAAUUAUUUUUUUAAAUAAUAAUAUUAAAAAAUUAUUUAAAUUUAAAAAUAUAAAAUAUAUAAAUAAUACCAAAAAUUAGAUAAAAUUAGUAGUAUAUAUUACAUAAUUCAGAAGUAAUUUUUGAGGUAUAAAUCAUAUUUUUUGAAUUUAUGAUAUUUAAACAUUUUUAAUUUAAAAAAUUAAAAAUAUAUAAAUAAAUAAAUAAAGAAAAAUUAAGGUUAUGAAUUAGAUAAAUCUGAUGUAUUUUUUAAAGUAAAAAAAUUAACUUCGUCAGAAAUUAUCUUUUUAUUUUUAAAUAGUUGAUAAAUUGAUGUACUUGAUAAACUUGGAAUGGAGCCAUCACGAAAAAAAAGAUCCGGAGCAUGACAUUGGCUGAAAUCAUGGGCAAAUGCUCUCAGGCCGACACCAUUGAAAGUGCAAUUGGUGCAACAUAGAGUUCAAGGAAGGAGGGGUAACUAGAUUCAAAUAGUACUUAGCUGGUGGUUAUUCCGACGUAUCUAUGUACUAGAAAUACCCAUAAAAAGUUCGACAGCUGAUAAAGAAGCACUUUGCUAAUUUCAGAACAGCGAAGAUGAGGGUUGCCAAGAAGAAGACGGAGGUGGAUCGCUGACCGGCAGAACCAGCUUCCUAUCACUCCAGAAGUCAAAGGAUGUGUCUGCUCAAAAUGAAAAAGCAUAUAUUUAGGUUGCCAUGCAGGCGAGCUCGAAUGAUCAGUGGCACCUGAAUGAGGUAGCUAGGCAUAAGACUCGAUUUGGAUCCUCGUACUACGAGUCGAGCUCCGAUUCUGCGAGUAGCAGUUCAGGAGGACCACCUCAGUCGGAAGGUCGUCAGCGGAAACAAUGGCCGGAUUACAUCUAUGCUGAAGGCUUUUGGUAGCAGAAAGAAGUCAUCCAAAGAUAUUCCACCACUAACAACAAUCCAUAAUUUAAAUCCACAUACCUUCCUCAACAGAGAUUCGAAAUAGCAGAGGGUUGACUCAAUGCUGAAAAAGGAUAAGAAGAAAGAUAUGUGGCGAGCUAUUGGAUCCUGAUUCCACUUCAGUUAUAUCCCAGGGAAUGUAGCAGACAAUAUGUACUACAAUGCCGCUUGGUUAGAGGAGUGGGCUGAUGUACCUCCUAACUAUGCUGAUAAUCCGGAUAUCUGCGAAAGACAUCGCCAUUGGACCCAAUUUUAGAUGUCGUUACAUAUGUUGGACAUUAAAUGUAUGUAAUUGAUUGUAUUAUUUUUAAAUUUUUACGUCACUACUUGAUUUAAAGAUAUUUUAUGUUGAUUAUUUUAUGAUUUGUAUCAUUUUAAAGCGCAAUAAGAUGUAUCAUCUAGGUUAAACUGAGAUCAUAAAAAUAUCAAAAAAAUAUUAAAUUAGACUUAAAUUUAUUGAAAAAGUUUAAAAAGAAUGAUUACCAAUUAAAUUUUUUGAGAACUAAAAAAAAUAGGUGUGCCGAUCGGUGAACUGGCACGCCCUACUAGUUUAGUACGGUACCGAACCGUACCGAGCAUCGACCGAUACAGGUCUUAGUACCGGUUCGGUGUACCUUGGUUAGGCUAUAUAUUAUGUGCAUAUUGGUGACUAUAUGUACAAGAGCCAAAAGUCUGACCUUCUUAAUCUCUUAUUUCCGUCUUUUAGAAAGCUGAAAAGUUGAGUUAUGGCACACCCUACCAAUUCAGUACAGUACCGAACUGUACCGAGCGCCAACAUAUACGGGUCUCGAUACCAGUUCGGCGUACCUUGGUUAGGCUAUAUAUUAUGUGCAUAUUGGUGACUAUAUACAAUAUACAGAGAUUUCAUCUUCUACCUUUUGUGUUAAUAUGGUAUCGGAGCAAUCUAACACUAAUCUCUAAAUAGUAGGCUCCUAUCAAGAAAAACCUAGUUAUGAAGUUACAGCCACUUUAAAUUCUGAUGUUGAAAAUCUUUUACAAAGGAUUUAGGUAUUCUAGGAAAAGUGCCCACUCAACAUGACCAAUAAAAAGAAAAAAAAUGAGAAAAAUCUGUACAUGGUUGAACUUAUUACUCCAUCCCCCACUUAAUAGAUAGUAUCAUAGUCUACCAUGAAAUUUAUCUCUGACACCGAAAAUAAGGAGAUAGUUCGAAAACAAGGAGAUAGUUAGCAUGUUUAAUUUUCUCAAAUCUUUAUCAAAUGCAUGGAAAUAAUUUUUAACAUUUUAGCAUUUUACUAUAUAACUAAGUUAUCUCUACCAAAUAUGGUCGUACCUUGUUUUGGAUAGUUGGAGAGUUAUCUCCAUACCAUGUAUCCUGUGUCUCUGAUUGGCAAUGAGCAAAACAUGAAUUAAUAAAUAGUCCAUUUUGCUUGGAAUUAGAGAACCCUUUUGUGGCGUCAAGCAUUUGGUUCCUCAAUCCUGAACAACAACAUGCAUGAAUUACAUGUUAGAACAGAACAUUGCAUAUUAAACCAAGUAGUGACAAAGAACCCAAAUAGGUACCUUGCAGAAAAUUUAUUUGAUCUUCAUUGCACUCUGAAUAAUUAUAUUUGCAUGCUUUCCAAUAACCUUUAGGAUCAGCAUUCUCGGAGGUUAAACUUCGAAUCUGAUGACGUAAUGAAGGUGGAAAAACAACUUGUUAGAAUGGAAGCAAAAAAAUUCUCAAAAUAAAAAGAAAGAAAAAAAGACUGGAAGAAAGCAAUCUGGCUAUUCCUAUAUUUUCGUAAGUCCAUAUUGAAGAAAAUUUAAUUUAAUAAAGCCCCACCAGAAUAGCAGUCAAAACAAAAUCUGCCAUUGGUCUGUGAAACAACUUGCUAUAAAAAUGACCCGUACUACAAGUUAAAGCUGAAAUAUACCUGACAUACAUCAUAUGCUGCAUUCAGAAGAAAAGUUGGGGUCUGAAUAAUGCUCAAUAAAUUCUGUGGAAAGAAGCACUGCAAAAAAAAAGGGAAAAAAGUUUUGAUCACACUAUUUCUUAGUAGUUCUGUAGGAACAUCUUUAGUGGGGAAACCAAGAUUACCGAAGUUGCGUCCAUCUUGGCAGUACAAGAUCCUGGCAAGUUCUUGGCCACUCCCUUUCAUGAGUAGGGAAUAAAGAUGUCAGCAUAAUGCGCUCAUAAGCAGAUUCUUGCUACCCAUACAGAUAAAAACGAGCACACAGUGCCAAUAUGAAAGUCAUUGUUAAGCGCAGAGCCCAUUUUCAAUUAUCAUCAUAUUAUAUUAAGCAUAGUUUAUCGAAUGGAAGAUCCACUUUAGUAUCUCUUUUAUCUACUCCUAUCAUCCUUGAACAUAUAAAAUGAGAGUAAUGAUGAUGAGAUUACCUGCAUAGUUACUACACCUUCAUAGAAGGAUCUUAGAGAGCGCACACCAGCUACAUCAGUACUGCAAUGCAUAUAGAAACAAAUAAAUAUAGCAGACAUUCAAACAAAUAUUAGUAAAAGUUAGGCUGGAUCAUUUAUCAAUUUAUAGAAAAUUUGUUUUAUAAUAAGCAAAAAGGUGAGUCAUACACAUCAAGGAACAAUCCAGCAUCAGCUAGGCACUUGACAUUAGUGUUUCCUGGAAGUAAUGCCCGAAACUCAUCACAGUGUAGUAUGGAAGCCAGACCCCCAGCAGAGCAUCCAGUAAGGAAGGCCUGGAAACACCAAUUAUAUAAAAUCCGGAAUUAAUUUGAAAUCAUGUCCAAAAUCACAUACUAAAAGAAAAACCUGCUCGGCUGAAUGCAUUCCUUUUGACAUCAGGUCUUCCAUUGCAGCUGAAAAGAUACGUUGUCCUCGAAAAUAAAGGCCAGCAGCCUAUAUAUACAGCCCAAACAAUUUAUAACUAUCGGUAUAUAUAUGUAUCUGAUCAUUACUUCAUAGGAAUCGAUUUGGCUGAAAUUAAAAUGCAUAAUCAUAGAAGACUAGUCACAUCAUUAUGAGUCUAUUGACUGUGGAUACUACAUUGUAGUUCCUAGCAAAGAAAUUGUAAUGAAAUUUAGAAGUGAUCCCACUAACCUCAUUAUAGCCUUCACCUGCAAAUGAUGCACCAUCACAAUAGCAAAUUCUAACUCUGUUCCAGUUGUAGAAGUCUGGAAGCAUUAUAACCAAAAUGGAGAUGACAUUGAGUCCAAGAUUCGACCAACCACCAACAGUUUAUUUCCUCAUGUAGAAAAGCUACAGUACUAAACAAAAAAGCAAGGGCUUUGGAUAACAAUUACCAGGAUUUUCUUCGGGUUUGUUGCUCAAUAUUCCAGUAAAUGGUAUCUGUUUCUCCAUGUAGUUUGAUGAACCACGACUAGUUGUUUUGCGGUAUACGCAUGAACUGAUAUCAUUGCACCAGCCUCCCCCCUAAUGUUUUCAAAAAUUGAAUUUGAGCAAAAGUUAAAUGUAUCUACAGCUCGUAGUUGCAUCAACUGGGUGUAUAAUCAGUGUGACCUCUACUACUAGCAUGCUACAGGUCACAUGGAUUAAAAUUUGUGACUUUUUAACUGCAAGUCCUUUUUAACUUUGUAACUGUAAUUCAUUCACCUCUAGUUCAACGAGCCAACUGUUUGCUCCUGAUCCAGACCCUGGAUGCAGGUGGUAAGCACCUGGCGUUCCAUCCAAACAGACUGCACACACCAAAGAAGACAAUUGAUCAACGAGUAAUUAUCUGUUUCACCCAAGCUACUCGCUCGAGGUUAACUUGAAAACCACUAGGAGAGAUAAAAGAAGUGGAUAGCACCAAAAGAAAAAAAAAACUUUAGACCGUGUUUCCUGAAUUCUUACCCUUAAGACUGUACAAAAGAACAAAGAUACAGGCUUAAUUUAAUAUAUAGGAUCUGGUUAGAUUGCUGUCUUAUCAGUUCAUUCCACAUUAAAGUGAAGAAGAAAGUGAUGAUUUGGAGGUCGUUUUCUCACAAACCAUUAAUACUAACAAAAUAUUUUUGCUUAUAUUUUUUUCCCGCUAGGAGAUUCAGAUUUAAUAAAGUAAGACAACAUUCAAACUAGUUAUGGAUUAUAAAAUCGCAAGGAGUUAUUGAAUUGCUUUCCUUGCAAAAAUUUCUUGCCUGAAUACGGUAUCAGAUUAAUAUGGUAUUUCAGCUAAAAAGGAUCUUGAGAAAACGAAGACCCCGUGGUGAGAGGCAUUGUUGGGAAAAUCUAGCUUGAACUAAAUUUACAAGUUAGGAAGAGAAACCAUUGGAGCUCUGGUGACAUAGGAAAUGAUAAAACCAGUAGCCCUAACCACACCACGGAACAGAAGCAGAACCAUGAAGAGGAGAAAUGUGUCUCUGAAAAACAUUACAUGGCCAAGCAAAAGGAAUCUCGCGAUCCAGCAUGGAAGGUGGGAAGAAAAAACUUGAUUAUAUUAAAAAAAAUGAAAAUAUCUAUGGAUGCAUGUAUAUAUAUUUACAGAUCAAGGAACCCAAAUUGUGGACCAUAAAAGAUAACUUUAGAAAAAGGAUGUCUUUCCAAGGAAAAAAAACAAGGAAAGAAAGAAAAUUCAUAUUGAAAGACAGACAUGAUGGAAAUCAUGGGGGAGCAGCAAAUUGACCUGUUCAAACACAAGCAAACAGACAUAACAGAAAGGCAGUCAUAAUGACCCCAACAAGUCAAAUGAGCAUUAAAAAUUUAAGGAUAUAUGUACCGGCUACUUAUUUUUAAAGCUUAAAAGAAAUUAACAGCAGCAGAACACAGAUCAAACCACUAAGAGAUAUAAAGAGCAGCAUAUCCAAUAACUGAAUAUACAACAAUGCAAUUUCUUGAACAUCAUAAACAAUAAUAACAUGAAAGACAGUUUACAGUUUAAAUAAUUACAAAAGGAAAGUGCAUGUCAGCAAGUCAUUCAUGGGAAAUGUUUAGAAAAAAAGAACAGCAGAAUUUAUACCAAACAAAACAGGGACACAUAGGAGGAGUAUGGGAGGCAGCAAAGACCGUACCAGCCCCAUUUUCGGUAGCAGAUCGAAUGAGGGUCAGAUCUACAAGGAGAGGCUGAGGGGCACUCCCAUUAACUCCAUCCAAGUAGUCAUAGCCCUGAACGCACCUCACAACAACCAGCACAAGUAGCCCAACAACCCGGAAAGCCUUCAUGGGUUAUUGGAUUCUCUCCUCCCCUCUCUCCCUCCUCCUCGUCCUCCUGGUUCUGUAGGCACGGAAGAAAGGGAAAUGAAAGAGCAGGGGAGGGUCAGAUUGUUUCACCUCGGAGACAGGACAGUCCAGAAGAGACAGAAGGCCGGCUAUGUAUAGGAUAGAGUGUCACAGGUUGGAAAAGAGAGAACGUAUCCGACCAAAAAUAUAGAAUGAAAAUAUAUAAAAAAAAAUUGUGCAGUCCUUUCAAGAAAUUUAGAUACAGUGAGGAAAAUGUGCAGAAAACAAAGGUUACCUACCAUUCCUUCCAAAAAUGAAAAAUAUAGAUAAAAGAGGACUGAUAUGCGUGCCUUCGGAUGGGAGGACGCGGGUUUCCUGGCGUUUUUCGUUUCUUGUUUCCAGAAAGUGGGCCCCAGAUUGAGUGCAGUAAUUGAACGCGAGGAUUUAAGUGUUUUCCUUAAGUGGUGUUGAUACGGCGGAUCGGCCGCCCUUCUGUACGGGGAGCUGAUGGAUGAUUUCGGAAAGAAGGUCUUUAUCCUUUAAUGCAACGAGACUUCUUACCUUCAUUGGCUCCUGGGGACCGUUUGGAGAUCCAAGAUAAGAUCGAGGGAUCUAGGAAAGAGGUUGUGCGUGCAGGAGCGAGUUCUAUGUUGGGCAUACGUGGAACGCAUAGUGAAAGAGAAAAAUUACUCACGCGGCAAAUGGUUGUGAUGGAAAUUUUUUUCAUAUACAUACAUACUGAUGGAAGGCAAAAUGGAUUGUCCUACUCCAGCAUGGAAUCAUCCAAUUCUUACCGUGCAGGCUAGGCCUCAGCCCCACUAAAAGUCAAGCCGACCUCGGGCCCUGCCGAAAGCCGAGCCGACCUCGACAAGAGGCCAGGCCGAUCUCACCAAGCAUAUGCCGUGGCCUCCAAGCAUGCCACGCCUACCAGGAGUCAUACCAUGCUAUACCUACCAAAGGCCAUACCCAGCCACACCAUGCCAUGCACAAGGACUGUCCAAACCAUGUGCCUCAAGUAAGCUUUGGCCUUGACCGCGAGCCCUGGCCUAUGCCACCUGGCCAAGACCAUCUUCUCCCAUGAUGAGGAUGGACCAUAAUCUGCCACAUCAUGACGUGCACAAGGACUGCCCAAAUCGUGUGCCUUAAAGGAGCCCUGGCUUUGGCCACACGCCACUUGGCCAAGACCAUUUCCUCCCAUGAUAAUGAUGGAGCAUACCGCAGCCACUUGGGCACCAUUGUAAGGACUAUAAAUAAGCCAUAUCAAAAACACUUAGGAACCUGUUUUCCAAAAAAAUUGUUUGAUCAACUCUAACUUAACCAUCGGGAGGCCUUUGCCGGAAUCCCUGAUCAAGACUUUGUGCAGGUACCUCGGAGUGUAGAAGGUGGCCCCCCUUUUUUAUCUCAGUCGGCAUCUUCUCGGCUUCCUCCGGCGUGGUCACCCUCAGGCCAAAUUUCAACCCCAACACAUACAUAAACACAUUUUAACGGAGGCAGCCUUCUAAGGAAAAUAAAUGUUGUAUUACUAUUUAUAAGCAAAGGUUGGAUUGAGCAAUAAAUGUAAUAUAUUUAUUAGCAGUGUGCUGCAAAUACCAACCUAAAUAUGAGAAAAUACUCCAAACUAGAAUUCCAACGUCAAAACCAGAAGCCAAGUUUCCAUUUGGCGGAGCUUUUAGAAGGUGACCCUCCAAAGAUACUUUUAGAUGAAAUAAGUGUGUUUGAUAAAAAAUCGGAAAGAUAUUUUAGCUUCGCCAGAAAACUAAAACAGCUUUUGGGGAGAAGCUCCAUCUCCAGAAAAGUACUUUUAGGCUCUGUCGGAAAGCUGUUUUGAGUUAUAAAAAUUUUUCUUGUUAGACCAAAAUACCCAUGAUAAAAUAUAACAAUUACAGAAAAUAAUAAUAUUAAUAUAUUAUGAUAAUAAUUAUAAUAUUUUAUAUAUUUAUUAUUGUAUUAUACUAUAAAUAGUAUAUUAUAUUAUAUUAUAUCAUAUUAUAUUAUAUUAUAUUAUAUUAAAUUAUGCUAUAUUAUUAUGCUGUAGUAUAUAAUAUUAUAUUACUAGUCCAGGCAGUUGACUCNNNNNNNNNNNNNNNNNNNNNNNNNNNNNNNNNNNNNNNNNNNNNNNNNNNNNNNNNNNNNNNNNNNNNNNNNNNNNNNNNNNNNNNNNNNNNNNNNNNNNNNNNNNNNNNNNNNNNNNNNNNNNNNNNNNNNNNNNNNNNNNNNNNNNNNNNNNNNNNNNNNNNNNNNNNNNNNNNNNNNNNNNNNNNNNNNNNNNNNNNNNNNNNNNNNNNNNNNNNNNNNNNNNNNNNNNNNNNNNNNNNNNNNNNNNNNNNNNNNNNNNNNNNNNNNNNNNNNNNNNNNNNNNNNNNNNNNNNNNNNNNNNNNNNNNNNNNNNNNNNNNNNNNNNNNNNNNNNNNNNNNNNNNNNNNNNNNNNNNNNNNNNNNNNNNNNNNNNNNNNNNNNNNNNNNNNNNNNNNNNNNNNNNNNNNNNNNNNNNNNNNNNNNNNNNNNNNNNNNNNNNNNNNNNNNNNNNNNNNNNNNNNNNNNNNNNNNNNNNNNNNNNNNNNNNNNNNNNNNNNNNNNNNNNNNNNNNNNNNNNNNNNNNNNNNNNNNNNNNNNNNNNNNNNNNNNNNNNNNNNNNNNNNNNNNNGAAACUGAUGUGUUUUCCACUUGCAUGAUCGAUGCUUGGGAAAAGCAAAAGAAGAAAAUUAUUUAAAGAAUAGGAGAGAGAGGGGUCGAUUUCUAUCGUCUUUGCCUCUCAAGGUUCAUUUCAAAUUUCAUAUCCUUCCCUCUUUUUUUCCCUCCUAUACAAGCAGAAGUGCCAUCACCAGCCAAAACUUUCUUGACGAGGUAGGAUUGACAGAAAUAUUCUUGUCUCCCUUCCUAGUAUAUCCUACCAAGAUUCUUUAUAAUUUUCCUGAUUGAUCAUUCCCUAGAAUGAGAAUAGUUAUAACAACUCAGGAUCUCACCCAAAAUGAUUAGCCGGAAAGUAUUAUUUUGAUUUCUUGAUCUUAUAUAAAUAUCCAAAAACUAUCCAGCAAAUAAUCGACAUGGAGCUAAACACACGUCCGCACGGAUCCUCACAUACUCCUUCUGUUUAAACCCUGACAUCCUCAUUAGGCUAAGAGUUUAAAUUCAUUCAAAUCUAAUCUAAACACCACAAUCGGCCUGCGGUCGGCCUGAAUAGAAUCGUACUGCAGUGUCCCUAGUCCACAUAGAUUAUAGAUUGGGUCCGCUCUGAUACUAUUUAUAACAACUCAGGAUUUCAUCCAAAAUGGCUAGCCGGAAGGUAUUAUUUGAAUUUCUUGAUCCUGUAUAAGUAUCCAAGAUCUAUCCACCGAAUAACCGAUAUAGGACUAAAUACACGCCCGCACGGAUCCUCACAAUAGUAAACCUAUCAAGAUGCUUAAAUACAUUCAUCUUGACCAAACUUAAAUGGUCAUCAAGAAGGAAUACAACAAAAUCUUUCUUACUACAACAACUAUCAGAAUUCUAUAACCUUUCCUCUUUGAAUAUAAUCAGGAAAGAAUAUAUGCUGGACAGUGGAAGAGCCAGCAUGUCACUUGCACAAGCAGAAUUCUGUUUUUGCUUCUGCUGUGUUAUUCUUUGACCUUAUUAUGAAUAUGCAGCUACAACAAAUUACAAUCGGACUAAUAUUUUGAUAAUAAUUGAAUAAACUUAACGAGAUACAAGAUUAUGGCAUGUCUUGUCACAAGGAUAUGGGCAGUCUAUUGCCUUGACUUCAGCUCGAUCAAAGUACCAGUCACCAACAGAUUUUGCAAUCCCCUGCACAUGAACAGCCAAUGUAAAUAUAUUGGGUGUGAUGAGGACUCUUAACAUCUGUGAAACAGAAAUGGAGAAAGAAUUAAUUCUUGUUUUGUAGAUGAAGUAGCUAAGAACAUGUUGACGUCGAAGGUUACAAAGCAUAGUUUUCCAUCUUAUUUACUUGUUUACAAGAUCAAGAGAUUCUAAAUACCAAAAUAUCAAAAUUUAUAUUCAAAAGCAACAGAUCUAGUAGCAGUCGCAUCUCAAUCUUUCCCAAGCAAGCUUUCAUUGGUGUACACAUCUGCUUAUGUUUAAUUUGUACAUGUUUAAAAUGUUGAUUUGAUCAGGAGGAUGAUCACUCUGAGUAAAAGAUCUAGGAAUUUUUGGAAUUUCAGCUCCUCCAAUUUUUACCAUGUCCUUAAAAAGAAGAAAUGCAGAGAUUUAAGAUAUUAAUGCAGAAAAAAAGGGAAAUGUUACUCCACUUUUUUGGCUACCAAUACCUAAGUAAGCUCCUUAUGAUACUCUAACCAAGCUCUCCAAUUACAAUUAGUCUCACAAUAGCCUUGAACAGUCACAGCACAUAUUACCAGCCAUAAAACUAGUCUCCCCUUUAAGAUGAGAAUCUUCCUCAUUUCUUUGGGUUGUUUGCAUGUCAACUAAUUAACAUUUGGAUCUUUCAAAGAAACUAAGGGGAACAAAAUGAUCUAUUCGACAAUUGUAUAGCAUCAGCCUUGCCCCUUAGACAUUGCCAUGGAUAAACAGAACUAUGGCAGUUCCAUGAAUUGAAAUUUGUUUUGGAUUCUUCUAACCAUAUUUAAGACAAGCAUCACUUAGAUCACUAAAUAGUAGGCUCCUAUCAAGAAAAACCUAAUUAUGAAGUUUCAGCUGCAUUAUAUUCUGAUCUUGAAAUUCUUCUGCAAAGGAUUGAUGUAUUCUAGGAAAAGGGCACACUUAACAUGACAAAUAAAAAGAAAAAAAGUGAGAAAAUGUACAAGUGGUUGAACUUAUUUCUCCAUCUCCCACUUUAUAAAUAGUACCAUAGGCUACUAUGAAAUUUAUCUCUCUCACUGAAAAUAAGGAGGUAGUUAGCAUGUUUAUUUCUUAAAUCUCUAUCACAUGCAUGGAAAUAGUUUUAACAUGUUAGAAUUUUAGUGUACAACUAAGUUAUCUCUAACCAGAAACGGAUACCCAAUAUGGUCAUACCUUUUCUUCUAUAGUUGGAGAGUUAUCUGCAUACCACGUAUCCUGCCUCUCCGAUUGGCAAUGAGCAAAACAUGAAUUAAUAAAUAACCCAUUUUGCUUGCAUUUUGAGAACCCAUUCGUGGCAUGAAGCAUUUGGUUCCUGAAGUCUGAGCGAUAACAUGUAUGAAUUACAUGUUAGCAUGGAACAUUGCAGAUUAAACCAAGAAGUGACAAAAAACCCAAAUAGGUACCUUGCAGAAACUUUAUUUGAUCUUCAUUGCACUUCAAAUAAUUAAAUUUGCAUGCUUGCCAAUGACCUUCAGGAUCAGCAUUCUUGGUGGCUAAACUUUCUUGAAUCUGAUGAUGUAAGAAAGGUGGAAAAACAACAUGUUGGAACAGAAGCAAACAAUUUCUCAAAAUAAAAGGAAUGAAAAAAGAAUGGAAGAAAGCAAUCUAGCUAUUCCUAUAUUUUCAUAAGUCCAAAUUGAGUCCAAGAGAAAAUUUAACUUAAUUUCAUUAGAAAAAAAAUAAACAAACAUAUGGAGCCCCACUAGAAUUGCAGUCAAAACAAAAUCUGCCAUUGGUCUGUGAAACAACUUGCUAUUAAAAAUGACCCAUACUACAGGCUAAAGCUGGAAGAUACCUGCCAUACAUCAUAUGCUGUAUUCAAAAGAAAAGUUGGGGUCUGAAUAAUGCCCAAUAAAUUCUGUGGAAAGAAACACUGCAAAACAAAAAAAACAGAGAAAAAAGUUUUGAUCACACUGUUUCUUAACAGUUCUGUAUGAACAUCUUUAGUGGAGAAACAAGAUUACCGAAGUUGCAUUCAUCUUGGCAGUACAUUUUCCUGGCAAGUUCUUGGCCACUCCCUUUCAUAAGUAGGGAAUAAAUAUGUCAGCAUAUUGCGCUCAUAAACAAAUUCUUGCUAACCAUAAAGAUGGCGACCCAUAAAAGCAUGCACACAGUGCCAAUAUGAAAGUCAUUGUUAAGUGCAGAGCACAUUUUCGAUUAUCAUCAUAUUAUAUUAAGCAUAGUUUAUUGAAUGGAAGAUUCACUUUAGUAUCUCUUUUAUCUACUCUUAUCAUCCUUGAACAUAUAAAAUAAGAGUAAUGAUGAUGAGAUUACCUGUAUAGUUACUACACCUUCAUAGAAGGAUCUUAGAGUGUGCCCACCAGCUACAUCAGUACUGCAAUGCAUAUGGAAACAAAUAAAUAUAGCAGACAUUCAAACAAAUAUUAGUAAAUGUUAGGCUAGAUCGUUUAUCAAUUUAUUACAUAUCACAGAAUUGUCCAUUCAUAUAAUUACGGUAGAUUGCAUAGUCAUUCAGAAAGAGAUAGAAUAAAGUUAAAAAAAUAUGUCUUGGUGAACAAUGAAGAUUUGUUUUAUAAUAAGCAAAAGAUUCAUACGCAUCAAGAAACAAUCCAGCAUCAGCUAGGCACUUGACUUUAGUGUUUCCUGGAAAUAAUGCCCGAAACUCAUCACAGUGUAGUAUGGAAGCUAGACCCCCAGCAGAGCAUCCAGUAAGAAGGACCUGGAAACAUCAAUUACCAAAAAUCAGGAAUGCAUUUGAAAUCAUGUUCAAAAUCACAUAUAAGAGUAAGAUUAAAAGAAAAACCUGCUUGGCUGAAUGCAUUCCUUUUGACAUCAGGUCUUCCAUUGCCGCCGAAAAGAUACGUUGUCCUCGAAAAUAAAGGCCAGCAGCCUAUAUAUACAGCCCAAAACAAUUUAUAACCAUCGGUAUUAUGAUGUAUCUGAUCAUUUACUUCAUAGGAAUUGUUUUGGCUGAAAUUAAAAUAUAUAAUCAUAGAAGACUGGUCGCACCAUUAUGAGUCUAUUGGCUGUGGAUACUAAUAUAUUGUAGUUCCUAGCAAAGAACUUGCAGUGAAAUUUAGAAAUGAUCCCACUAACCUUGUUAUAGCCUUCACCUGCAAAUGAUGCACCAUCACAGUAGCGAAUUCUAACUCUGUUCCAGUUGUAGAAGUCUGGAAGCAUUAUAACCAAAAUGGACAUGACAUUGAGUCAGAGAUUCGACGAACCACCAAUAGUUUAUUUCCUCAAGCAGAAAAGCUGCAGUACUAAAUGAAAAGGCAAGGGUUUUGGUUAAAAAUUACCUGGAUUUUCUUCAGGUUUGUUGCUCAAUAUUCCAGUAAACGGUAUCUGUUUCUCCAUGUAGUUUGAUGAACCACGACGAGUUGGUUUGCGGAACACACAGGUCCUGAUAUUAUUGCACCAGCCUCCCCCCUAAUGUAUUCAAAAAUAGCAUUUGAGCAAAAGCUAAUGAAUGCUCGGCUCUUAGGUGCAUCAUGUCGGUGUUUAAUCAGUGUGACCUCUACUACUAGCAUGCCACAGGUCACAGGAAUUAAAAUUUGUAACUUUUCAACUGCAAGUUUUUUUUAACUUUUUAACUGUAAUUCAUUCACCUCUAGUUCAACGAGCCAACUGUUUGCUCCUGAUCCAGAACCCGGAUGCAGGUGGUAAGCACCUGGUGUUCCAUCCAAACAGACUGCACCAAAAAAAAAGGGACAAUUGAUCAACAAGUAAUUAUCUGUUUCCUCCAAGCUGCUCGCUCGAGGUUAUCUUCAAAACCACUAGGAGAGAUAAAAGAAGAAGAUAGCUUAAUAAAAAAAAAAACUUUAGACCCUAUUUACUGAAUUCUAACCCUAUAGACGGUUACAAAGAAGAAAGAUACGGGCACUAACAUCUAGUGGAUCUGGCUAGAUUGCUGUCUUAUCAGCUCAUUCCACAUUAAAGUCAACGAAGAAAGUGAUGUUUUGGUGGUGGUUUUCUCACAAACCAUUAAUACUUUGUGCUCAAACAGAGAGGUUCUAUUUUCUGAUAAACUUAGAACAUCAUAUUUUUAUUUAUAUUUUUUCCCGUUUAGGAGAUUCUGAUUCAAUAAACAAGACAACAUUAAACUUGCUAUGGAUUAUGAAAUUGCAAGCAGUUAUGGAAUUGUUUUCCUUGCAAUGAUUUCUUGCUUGAAUACAGGAUCAGAUUACUAUGGUAUUUCAGCUAAAAAGGAUCUUGAGAAAACGAAGAUCCCCUGGUGAGGAGCAUUGUUGGGAAAAUUUUGCUUGAACUAAAUUUCCAAGUUAGGAGGAGAUAUCAUUGGAGCGCUGGUAACAUAGGAAAUGAUAAAUCCCCAAAAAGACAUAGGAAAUGAUAACAACAGUAACCAUAACCACACCAUGCAACAGAAACAGAACCAUGAAGAGGAGAAAUAUGUCUCUGAAAAUCAUUUACAUUGCCACACAAAAGGAAUCUCGCAAUCUAGCAUGGCAGGUAGGAACAAUAUACUUGAUUAUAUUAAAUAAAAUGAAAAUGUUCGUGUAUACAUGCGUGCAUAUUUAAGAUCAAGAAACCCAAAUUAUGGACCAUAAAGGAUAACUUAGAAAAAGAAGGUCUUUCCAAGAAAAAAAAGGGAAAGAAAGAAAAAUCAUAUCAAAAGAUAGACAUGAUGGAAGUCAUGGGGGAGCAGCAAAUUGACCUCUUCAAACACAG
This 55709-nucleotide long non-coding RNA is filed under the name Phoenix dactylifera (date palm). RNAcentral's name for it is "long non-coding RNA (PDAC_LNC005124)". Lineage: Eukaryota; Viridiplantae; Streptophyta; Magnoliopsida; Arecales; Arecaceae. The record is from RNAcentral.